This 77519-nucleotide long non-coding RNA is filed under the name Solanum lycopersicum (tomato). RNAcentral describes it as "long non-coding RNA (SLYC_LNC000813)". The record is from RNAcentral. Lineage: Eukaryota; Viridiplantae; Streptophyta; Magnoliopsida; Solanales; Solanaceae.
GACAACAUAUUAUAAAAUGAUGGAUUAAACUCGAUCGAUCGAUAGAUAUAUCCGUCUUAUUUUUCCCAAUUAUGCCUUGGAAAAUUGAACUUUCAUCAACCUUACUGAACCCUGCAAUAUACCAUAUUAAACCAACAUUAACAAAUCGAUACAAGUACACAUCAUUAUUUUAACAUGUUAAAUCAUAUAAUUUUAUUAAUCGUCGUAUAUGAAUUAAACUAAAGAAAUGUAUAACGUACUUCGAGCAGUCAGUAAAAGGCUGAUCUUGUAAGGAAUGCUUACGCCACAAGCACUAGGUAUACCAGCGGCUUUGCCUAGAUUAAGGCCUUUAAUAGCAUUAGCAGCUGAUUUGAGGCAAGUGCAUGCUGUCUUUCGAUCCGCGGGGGUCUUGGCUGCGCCCAAUAGACCCUUAACUCCACGACAACACCCUCCUAGAGGGCCUUUUCCCUGAAGAUAAGGGAGGCAUGGAGCUAAGCCAGAUUCAACCUGGCCGCAACUUAGUGCUUCUCCAUGGGGUGCAACCACUAUCAUGCACAAAACAAUAAAGCAUGCAAUUUUGCUAGACAUUUCCAUUUGUUACAAAAAUUUGAGAAAAGAUAGAGAAGUUCUGUGGACUAGGAAUGUAUUUGCUUGAGUGUUGGGGUACAAAAGCUAGUGAGAACUUUAGGUAUUUAUAGAUAGUAAAUUAAUUAAUGAAGGAGUGAGAGAAUUAGUUGGGAGUUGGGUUUAACUCCAAUAAUUAAGGAGGUGCCUCAUGCUGGCUAUGAAGUCAAAGUUAAGUUGUUAACGUGCCAAAGUUUUAUUGAAUAAUGCUACGACUUAUUAAGGCCCUUUGAAAAGCCACACCCUUAAAGGCAAUAUGGUUUUUCUAAGUGACUUCUGAUCGAGAGAGAAACAACUUCAUUCGUUAUAUAUGUAUUACAAUUUUUUAUGGUAGUAUUGUAUGAUUGGAUAAUUAUUUUUUUCAUUUUUUUAUAUAGUCAGUUUUUACUUUGUAUUUAAACUAAGAAAUAAUGUAAUUUUAUUCUUCUACGUAUUUUUAUUUAAUUUUUUUAGAAUUCAAGUUUUCAAUCAAUGACUAUGAAUUAAUUUAUUUUAAUUAAUUAAUUUAAUCAAUCAACAUAAAUCAUUUACUUAAAUUUUCAAGUUGAUUAAAUGUAUGUUUUCAAGGCUAAUAAAUCAUAAAAAUUAAAAAAAGAAAUAAUAUGAUAACCAUAAAUUAUAUGAAAUGACAAACAUUAUUAUAGAUCAACUAUAUAUAAAACAAAAAGAUGAGAAAUAAAUAAGAUUGGAGGGAUUAGUGUGUUACAUAUAUCCUCUCUCAAAAUAAGUGUUGUCUUACCAAAAGUAUAUUUCAUAUUACUUGGGUUUUAUAAGAAAAAUAAAUUAAAAAAAUCAAAAGUUUUAUUAUAUUUUUGUUCUUUCUAUAUGUUUCCUCGAUUUAUUUUUAUUUGUGUAAUUUGAAAAUUAAAGUAAUAAUUUAUCAUUUUAUAUCUAUUUUAUCUCUUGUAAAUAAUAUUUAUUUAUUACUAUCUGUACGACUUAUAAUAAAUACGAGUGAGAUAUCGUGGAAUUAUCUUUGCAUGUGGUAUGUCUUAUGAAAAUAAUACAUACAUAUCCAAACUCCACCAAAUUAAAGGUAAAAAGAAAAUAAAAGUUUGAAGAACAUAGCAUUGGUUAGCCCCAUUUUUUUCAUGACUGCCCAUGUCAACUUUGAUUUCCCUUUAGUUUAGAUUUUAGAAAAUAGCUAUAAAUUUAAAUGAUUUUUAUUUUAUUUUAAGAUAUUUUUAAAUUUAAAUCAAACACUCCCUAAAGUUAAAAGUAACUUCAAACAGACUCGAAGUUUGGCUCUCUACCUUAAUUAUCUAUAUAAUUGAUCUACUUACAAUGUAUUUAGACACUUUUAUACUCUCUUUCAUUCAAGUUUAUUUGUCUAUGUUGAAUUUGAUAAUUUCUUAAAAGUAAUAAGUAAAAUGAUAAUUUUGCUACCUUUUUACUUUAUUCAUCUCUAAUAAAGAAGUAUUUAUUCAUCAAAGAAUCAAUGUAAGCUCACAAAAAGAGAAAUGUAAGCACCCUCAUAUGCAUUGAGUUCAAAAUCAAGGCACAUAAAGAAAAUACAUUUUAUACAUGUUUUUAACCAAAAGAAAACAGAUUCUUAUACAUAUUAUAUAUAUAUAUAUAUAUAUAUAUAUAUAUAUAUAUAUAUAUAUAUAUAUAUAUAUAUAUAUCACUUGUAAAAAUUAUAAAUAAAUCAUCUCAUGAGAGUUCGAUUCCCAUUUGAAAUUUCCUCUCCAUUUCUCUUUUUUCUAUCCCCAAUAUAAAAAAGUAUUUACAAGAUAGUCCUUAUUAGAAAAUAUAUGUUGUAAUAUGCAUGUCAAAUAAAGGCACACAUUUUAAAAACAGUGAGCUAUUUAUUAAGGGAAAAUAUAUUUGGCAGGACACUUUUUUGGCACGAAUUCGGUUAAUUUUUUUUUUUUUUUUUGUAAUUUUGUUGAAAAGGGAAGAAUAAUGGAGUAAAUUCAUUUAUUUUUUUAUCCAAAAUACCCUUAAAAUAAAAUCAUUUUGAAUAUAUCAGAACCACUUUUGAGAAGUCAAACUCAUAAUUGUUACUUUUUCAGUUCAUAUUGUCCACGAAAUUGGGGUCCCCCUUACCAAUAAAUGUAUUAAAAGUUAUGUUUCUUUCUCCUUUUUUUUUAUUUUAUAUCUUUUUCUACUCCUUUUUUUCCUUUAUAUUACAUCAUAAUUUUUUAAUUAUUAUUCUUAUUAAAUAUAUUUAUUUAUCUAGAAACUUCGUAUUCUUAGUAAGAUUGUUUUGCUCGUGAUUUAAUUUGAAUUGUUUUUUAAUUAAAUGAAAAAAUUUAAUUAAUUUGAUUUUUCAAAUAUUUAUCAAGUCAAAUUAAUUAAGUCAAUUUUCAUAAUUUUUUUUGUAAAUUUUUCUUGCUAUUUGAUUUUUUGGACUUCUAAAAAAUAUAUGAUACUAUAAAAUUUUGUUAAAGUACAUAUAUAUAGGAUCCUUCAGAAAACAAAUUACGCAUUAUUUAAAAAUUUAAUUAUUUUAAAGAAAAAUGAUAAAAUUAUUUCAAACGAUUUUAAUAUUUUCUUACAAUAUUAAAGAUGAAGAUAUGUUAAGAUAUCUUGUUAAUAUUUGAUUUAAAUAAAAAUAAUCGUUGAAAAUAAUCAACUGAUAAGAAAGAGAGUAAAUACAGUUCUUUACGUAAUUAUGAACGAAUGCAAUUGCAGCUUCAAUGGUUAAAGCUUAAACGAAGAGUCUAUAGGUUACAAGUUAGAUUCUAGGUUAUGUCCCAAUUUUAGGUAUUUUUUUUUAAAUAGACUCUUUGAAGCUAUUAGGAUUUAAAUAAUUUUUAAUGUUAUAUUACUUUGGUAAAUAUGAUUGUAAAAGUUUAUAUUCAGAUUGUUUCAUAAAAAUUGAAGAUUUUUCAUUAUUAUAAGUCGAUCAUUAUGAUAAAAAUAAAUGUACUAAAUAUAGUAUUAUAUGAGUUAUGCACCCUUACAAAUACAAGUCAAUUGAAUGUGAUUAUAUAUGCAUGAUCAAGUUAUAAUAAGAUAAUACUAUUAUUUAUGACUUUGAUCGGUUUAUCUUCACAUAUUAGGAGUUAUUAGACUAUAUUUAUUGAUAAUAUCACAUUUUAAAUUUCCUAGUGAUAUUUAUUAAACAACUGAUAUGAAAGAGAGUAAAUAUAUUUCCUUAUGUAAUUAUGAAUGAAUGUUAUUGCAGCGUGAAUGGUUAAAGCUUAAACGGAUAGUCUACAGGUCACAAGUUUGAAUCUAGGUUAUGUCCCAAUUUUAGAUUUUUUUUAAAAAAAAAAGAUUCUUUGAAACUUUUAGGAUUUAAAUAAUUUUUAAAUUCAAUUUUUUGGUGCAUAAGAUUAUAAAAGCUUAUAUUUGGAUUGUUUCAUAAAAAUUGAAGAUUUUUCAUUAUUAUAAGUCGAAUCAUUAUGAUAAAAAUAAAUGUGAUGGGUACAAUAUUAUAUGAGUUAUGCUCCCUCACAAACAAGUUAAUUGAAUACUAUUAUGUAUGAAUGAUCAAAUUUUAAUUGGGUAAUACAAUUAAUUAUUGUACAUGUCAACCUUUGAUCAAUUUAUAUUCACAUUUUAGUAGUUAUUAGACUAUAUUUAUUGAUAAUAUCUCAUUUUAAAUUUACUAGUGAUAUUCAAUAAACAACUGAUAUGAAAGAUAGUAAAUACAUUUUCUUUCAUAGUUAUGAAUGAAUGCUAUUGCAGUGUAUAUGGUUAAAGCUUAAACAAAUAGUCUAUAGGUCACGAGUUCGAAUCUAAGUUUAGGUUUCCAAUUUUAGGUUAUUUUUAGUUUUUUUUUGUAAGUCUAUAGGUCAUGAGAUUUUUUUACUUUUUUCUCCAGACCUAUCGUAUGCACCAUCAAAAUCUUCAUGAUUUUGGGACAACAAACUAUCAUCCUCAUCUAAAUCCAAAAUAUUAUUCAAUACUUCAUUUAAUUGACUAUUCGAAUUCAUCUUGUUAAAAUUAUAUGAAUCUAACGACAAAAUAAAAUCUUGAACAAUAAAAUAAGAUAAAAUUGUGAACGAAGUAAAGAAGAAAAAAUGAGUAAGGUAAGAGAGAGAGAGAAAAUAAGAAAGAAAAAGUUUAAGAGUGAUUUUUUAUUUUGAAUGGAAACAACAAGUGAUUUUAAAGUCAAAAGGUUAUUUAGUCAUUUACUCAUAGCUUGCCAAUUCAUGCCAAAAAAAUAUCUUGUCAUUUAGUAAUACUCAUUUAUUAAAUGCUCAAUUUGAGAUUGAUUGAAAAUACAUUCCCUUCUAGGGAAGAGGUUUCAUAUUUUGGAAGGACAAAUAUGAGAUGGAGACAUAUACUGCUAUCUGAAUAAUCAAAUAAAUUAAUUGUGAAUAAACUGCCAUGCUCACACCUACCUCAAAGCACCCACCACAUUUCAAUUUUCAUUUAAGGUUUUUGGGUCCAUCUAUUUUUUAACUUUUACAAUAAUCUCUCCGUCUCAUAUAAGACAAAUAUCUUAUUAAAAAUAUUUAUUUCAUAUUACUUGUUUAUUUAGUAAAUUAAAAAAAUUAUUACUUUUUCAUUUUAUCUCAAUAAUCAAUAUAACACAAAACGAAAGAAAUACUAUAUACCUAACACGUGCUUGAGAAUAUAUUUUUAACUUGUUUGGAAUUGGACACCGGUGAAAAUAAAAUAAUAGGUGGCAAUAUGAUUGUAAAGUUUUCUCAAUGGGUCAUUCUCUCUCGGUGUAGGUUACUAACGUGCGUUGGCCAUGGGGAAGAGAGCUCGUGCUCCAUCGCAGAAAACUCUAAUGGCACUGGAAGCAACAACAAAAGGAAAUCUACAUAAAGGGAAAAAGGCAUAGUAGCUUGAACUCCAGGAAGAAAUAGGAAUUGGAUCUGAAUCUAGGGAAAUGGAACAUAGUAAGGCGGAGGUGGAGAAAGAGCACCAGUUGGCUAAAUGAAAUGCCAAGUAUGUAGAGAAGGAGAACAAGGUAGUAACACAAAAACAUUGGGCAGGAAUCACAAAAUCACAAUCUUUGAAAAUGGGGUCUCCGUCUGAAAAUGGAUCGGCGGCAUGGGCAGAUGAAGUAGAAGAGGUAAUGUUGCAGAAACCAAAGGCUGGAAAAGUGUGGGAUACAUUUGACAUUUCUAAACUAGCCAAAGUUGGAUUCAAGUUAGAUUACUUGGCUCCAGAGAAACAUGGUGAAGGGUCAAUAAUCGACAUUGAUUUUGAAGAUAUUGAGUCUGAAGUUAACUAUUGGAAUAAUGUGGUGGUUUGUUAUGUACUGGGUGCACACCUUCCAUUCACUGUAAUUAACGGAUACAUCCAAAGAAUUUGGGCAAAGUAUGGGUUUAACAAGAUGGCGAUGCUGAAAAAUGGAGUCAUGAUAGCAAUGUUUAAUUCAGUUUAGGGAAAAGAGAAAGCGCUAAAAGUAGGAAUUUACCAUUUUGACAACAAGUCAUUUAUUGUCAAAGCAUGGUCAAUGGAUAUGUAAUUCACAAAGGAGGAACUGAAUUCUGUUCUGAUUUGGAUAAAACUUUCAGAAUUUGACUUCAAGUAUUGGAGUCCAAUAGGAUUAAGUAAGGUCGGGAGUUUGAUAGGAAAACCAUCACUGGCUGAUCAGAAUACUGAAAAAAAGCAGGGUCUUAAUUUUGCUAGAAUCCCAAUUGAGGUAGAGUUGGGGGUUAAUCUUCCAAAAAAAAAGUGUAUUUCAAGAAUGUGAAAGUACAGGUGAUAGAACAACAAGUCGUGUAUGAUUGGAAACCCACCCACUGUAAGUUUUGUGACAAGUAUGGGCACACUAGUGAUGAAUGUCGAAGGAAGAAUCCUUCAAAGAAGAAGGGAAUUAUGAAGGAAUAAGAGAAGCAUGGACAACCACAAACAACAGUUGGCCAGAGUAGUGAAAGACAAGAGUUUAAACACGUUGAAUUAAGAACUGCUGCGAAAAAUGUGCAAUGUGAACAACAUCAGGUUGAACACGGGGAAUUAUCUUUGAUGGGUUGGAUAACACCAUUCAAAAUCGGAAGGAGCCAAGGUCCGCAUCAAGUACAAAUUGCUAGUGAUAAUUCAUUCCAAAUAUUUAACAAAUCUAAUGAGGUAAACAACUCAACUCCAAGGUCUGGACAAAUAGUAGGUGGUAGAACCAUUUUUCCAGAAGGGAAUGGUUAGUAUGAUAUGCUGGAAUGUGAGAGGGUUUAGUGCCCAGAAUAAGCAAAAUGAAGUGGUAUUCCUCUGUAAUAAGGAAAAUGUGGGAUUGGUAGGGUUAGUUGAAAUGAAAGUAAAUAGUAAAAAUAUUGAGAAAGUGGUGAAUAAAAUGUUUGGAGGUUGGCAGUUCCUAACCAACCUAGAAUCACACUACAAUGGCAGAAUUUUACUAGUAUGGAGACCAGAUUACUAUAAAGUGGAGCUAAUGAGAAGCUUAACCCAAAUGUUGACUUGCAAGGUCUGUUAUAUACUUCUGCAAUUGACGUUUAUGGUGUAAAUUGCUUAUGCAUACAACAUUAGGGAGGAUAAAAGAAAACUGUGGAAGGAAAUUAAAAACCAAAGUUCAAAUUUUCCAAAGCCAUAGCUAUUAUUGGGUGAUCUUAAUUAUGAUUUACACGCUGAAGAUAGAAUUGGAGGAAACCCCAUCUCUUUACCGGAAGUAGCAGAAUUUCAAGAUUGUAUUGAUGUAAGUGGCUUGAUAGAAUUACCUCAUGAAGGAAAAAAAAAUACACAUGGAAUGAUAGAGUGAUAGGGAAUAGAAUUCAAUCUAAGAUAGAUUGGAUGUUCAUCAAUUUGAUAUGGUUAAAUAGUAUGCCGUCAUGUGGAACAUUGUAUCUACCCGAAGGUAUAACUGGCCACUGCCCUUCAAAGGUCUAAUUACAAAAUCAAGUUACCAGAACAAGAAGAGCAUUCUAGUAUUGUAAUGUUUGGGCACAACAUCCACAAUUCAAUGACAGAAUCCAAGCAGUAUGGGACACACAUGUGGAGGGAUGUAAAAUGUGGAAAGUGGUGAAAAUAUUAAAAUUAUUGAAACCAGGUCUGAAGAAACUAAAUACACAUUAUUUCAGAAACAUUGUUACUGAUGCAUGUGAAGAUAGGGAGGCCUUGUUAGAAGCGCAACAGAAGCUUUAAAAUGAUCCUCAAAACAAGUCUUUACAGGAAGAAGAUAAAGUUUAAUAUGACAAGUACAGGUACACUUCCUAUAUGGAUGAAAGCUUUCUCUAACAACGAAAUAAGGCAACAUGGUUGAAGCUAGGAUAUGACUGCACGAGAUAUUUUUUCGCUGUGAUAAAACAUCGGAGACUCCAGCAGAUAAUAACACAAAUUAUAGAUGACCAAGAUGAAUAGCAGUAUGAUCAGGAGGCGAUUGCAACUAUAUUUGUGAGUUUUUAUGAGCUAUUCGGGUAAGAAGAUUCUACGAAGGAGGCAGAUUGCUCAGCUUUCUUUAGUAAUGGUCAUAUCCUUUCUAUAGAGUAACAACUAGAAGUGCAACAGAGGUUUAAGCAAAUGAAUGUCAAGGAAACAAUGUUCAAGAUAGACUGCAACAAAAGCACUGGCCCUGAUGGAUACGGGAGUGGAUUUUUUACAUCAUCUUGAAAGAUUGUGGGAAAAAAUAUUACAGAGGCCAUCCUAGAAUUCUUCGAAAAUGACAAGUUUUUGAGACAAAUUAAUGCUAUAAAUAUUACCUUAAUUCCUAAAGUUGUUGUUCCGAAAUUUGCCAGCCAAUACAGACUUAUUUCCUGUUGUAAUAUAUUGUAUAAGUGCAUUACAAAAAUGAUCUGCACAUGACAAGACAUCUCCUAGAUGUUUAAUAAAAAUUGAUCUGAGGAAGGUAUACGAUAUGGUGAACUGAGAAUUUGUAAAGAAAGCAUUACAGAGAUAUGGGUUUCCUAAAUUGGAAAAAGAGAUACGAACGGAGAGGAAUAACCAAUCGAUGAAAGAACAUGAAACCAUUCUGUUUCAAUAUAGGUAUGAGAAACGGUUGGGGGCAAUGAAGUAGGUGAAAUGGUUUGGAUUUAAGUAGAUUUACAGAACUUGUCAUGACAUGUGUCACAUCCGCUAUGCUUACGGUUAAGGUAAAUAGAGAAGGGAGUGGUUUUUUUGCUGGUAAACGAGGAUUAAUAUAGGGGGAUCCUAUGUCGCCUUUGUUGUUUGUGCUUGUAAUGGAAUACUUGUCCUAAACUUUGAAGUGUAUGAGUGAGUUGCCUGAUUUUCAUUUUCACCCAAUGUAUGAGAAACUCAACUUGACGCAUUUAAUAUUCGCAAACGAUUUGAUGAUGUUUUGCAAAGGGGAUGUUCAAUCAGUAAGCAGAAUAAUAGAGGCUUUGCAGCAUUUCAGUAGUGUCACUGGUUUAGUUGCAAAUAUGGAGAAGUCAAACAUAUUUAUGGCAGGGGUAAAUGAUAUUACCAAAAAGCAAUUGUUGCUAAGAACAUGAUUUUCGCAGGGCUCUUUUCCUAUUAGAUAUCUCGGGAUGCCGUUAUCUUCUAAUAAAUGGAGUAAAAUGGAGUGUCAUUAACUGAUACAAAAGAUCACGAGUAGAAUAACAAAGGUCUACUCAGAACAGUUAUCCUAUGUAGGAAGACUACAGGUGACAAUAUCAGUAUUGUUUGAUUUUCAUAACUUUUGGGGUUCUGCGUUUAUUCUACCACAGGGUGUAUUAAAAGAAGUUGACAAAAAAUGCAGAAAAUACCUCUGGAGCGGUAAGUAUGAUAAGAGGAGGACACUAUUAGUAUCUUGGGACAAAGUGUGUCUGCCUAAGAAGUUCGGUGGACUAAAUAUUAAGGGGAGCAAGUUGUGGAAUGUGGCGUCGGUGGGAAAACUUUUAUGGCAGUUAAUAGUCAAUAAGGAUGUAUUGUAAGUCAAAUAGUACAUGGGGUGUAUAUGAAGGAUAACCAUGAUAUCUGGGCGCAUACAUCACCGCAAGAUAGUAGUUGGUACUGGAGGAAGUUGAAUGCACUGGAGUCUGAUAUGGCGGAGUGGUACUCUCAAGGAGCUUAUGUCCUAGCAGAAAAUGGGAAGUACUCAACAGGAGCCAGUUAUGCAGUAUUGCUAGGCAUAAAGAGAAAAAUGAGGAUUUCAGACUUGAUAUGGAGCAAGAUCUCUCAACCAAGGCACAUAUUUAUAAUAUGGUUAGCUGUACAUGGUAGAUUGUUGACAAAAGAUAGACUACAAAGGAUGAAUAUACAAGUAGAUAAUAUAACAUGCAACUUGUGUGAUGACCAGUCUAUAGAGACACAACAUCACCUUUUUUUCUGAAUGUAAUUGGAUGAAAGGACUCAUUACAGCAAUGACUCAAUGGGCUGGAGUGCAAUUUCCAUCGAGGAAUGUCAAACAUGUGUUGAAUUGAAUCAGAAGGAGGCACUGGAAGCAAAUUAACAAGGAAAUAAUUGCAGCACUGUGGGGUUCCAUACUAUAUCACGUGUGGAAGGAAAGGAAUUGGAAACUGCACAGGGGAACUAUUGUCAUUAUGAAAACUACAAUCACACAAAUAAAGAUAAGUUUUAGUGUUAGAUUAGAGUUAGAAACACUAGGAAAGGCAAAAAAUGUGAUUUGUUAUUUCAGCAUUUUACUAUGUAAUUAGAGAUAUGUUGGAGGUUUAACUCAAAACAGUCCUUCUUCGAAAUAGCUGUAAAGUUAAAUGUUCUUUAGGUGUAUUGAUUUGGUUGUUAAUGGUAAUAUAACCAAAACAAAUAUGAUUGUCAUGACAAUAAUAAGAGAGUACAAAGUAUGAUCACUUGAAGUACAACUAGGGCCUACAGGUAGUAAAAUAGUUAUUGUUUGAUCAUUUUAAUAAUAGGUUAAGUAAAAAUUAAUAGAGAAAUUUUUGCAAAUAGUCAUUAUAGUAAAUUUAAUUAUGUUUCAUAAUUAUAGGUUGCAUAUUUAUAGAUUGUAGCUAUAAUUUAAGUUGUCUCGUUUGUAUUAUUCGUGGAUACAUUUGUAUAAUUCACGUGUACGUUUGAAUAAUUGAGAUAAUUUGUAUAAAUUCGUAAUUACGAAUUUAUACAAACACAAAUAUUUAAACUUUAAAAAGUGAUACAAAUUAUAUUAUAAAAAAUUUAUACAAAUUUUAGUAUUUAAAUUUGAAAUUAUACAAACUCGAAACCCUAUCCCCACAUAAUUAUUAUUGAAUGUUGAUCUCGAUUCACUACAACAAAAAUGAUCACUAUCGGCAAUUAAUUCUCAAUUGUGCUAAACGUGUAUUUUUAGCGGCAAUUGACACUCUUUGUAUCUGUCCCUUAAACUUUUAACGACAUUGGUUCUAAUGAAACUUAACUAAUGUCGGUAAAGACUUUAACACUCUUUAUUAGGCCUCAUUUGUUUGCACUUAAUGGAGGUCUGAAUCUAAAUCAUUCAAAUUCAGCUUAUUAAGUACAUUUGGUUUUUAGGUUUGAAUCUCAAUCAGCCCAUUAAGUUCAUUUGUUUUAUUUUUAAAAAGCCUCUUAAUGGGUCUGAAGAGGUCUGAAUGAAUCAGAUCUGUAGGAGACUCUUAACAACAUUCAGAUUUGUUUAAUAAGUUAUCAAAUAAUAAAUAUCGCUUCUCUACUUUAACCGUGCUUUUUGUCGCAUAACUAAAAACUUUGUUUUUCUCUUUUCUCAAUCAAACGUCAUUUUCCCCUUCUUGAACUGAUAAAUUUUCAUAAAUCUUUUCAAGUUUUUUUUUAUAUUAAUUUUCUUGUAUUGACUGUGUCAAAAACAUUGUUGGUGUAUUAGCUAGCGUUUAUCAAGGUUUUUGAAUGAAAAAAAUUUCCAAAAUCAUGAUUAUUAAAACUUUUUAUUAUCAAAAGCGAUAUAUUUUGUUGAAAUGAAAUUUUUAUUAUAUUUUAUUAGUUUAAUGUUAAUUUCACAUGCACAUUCAGAUAUUGAAAACAAACAAUAUUAAUUAUUUAGUGUUCAGAUUUAGAGACCACAUCUUAAUAUUCAGAUGUGUAUUCAGAUCAAAGUACCUGAAUCUUAAUAUUCAGAUGUGUAUUCAGAUUCAGACCUCUUAGUCUGGCUGGAAACAAAUAAGGCCUUCCGCUAUUUUUGUUGUAGUGAGUGGUAAUUAAUUAAAAUUAUAGUUAUAUAAACUAAUUAGCUAGUAUAUGUUUGCUUAACUAUACUAUUUUCCCAAAUAAGUUUAUAUUAUCCAUCAUAAAAUAUAAAUAACCACACGUAUUAGAAUGUAUAAAAAUAAUGUACAAUAGAGUAUAUUAGUAACACUUAUAUAUUAGUAAUAUUUGUAUUAGUUAUGCUUGCAUUAGCUAUAUAUAACUUUUUAUUUAUGCAUUGUUUGGUUUGAUGUAUUAAAAAUAGUACGCAUUGUAUAAUUAUAUUUAUUUACAAAAUAGUCUCCACAAUUAUGACGGAAAAAACGUAAAAUGUUUUUAGGGUCAAUUGGGUCUUUAACCAUAUUAAUACACAUAAAAAUUAAGAAAUUGACGCGACUCCUUAAAAAGGGCAUGUAAUUACAGUGGGCGCGAAAUGGCGUGAGCAUAUGUGAUGAUUCCCCAACUCAAUGCGGAGGAGCUCGUAAAGUUUGCUGAGAAAGUUUUUUGUGUGCUUUGAGCGCAAGAUCCAUGGGUUACCACAUAUGAAAAAUUAAGGAAUUUCUGUAAUUCCUAAAAAAAGGGCCUGUGGGUGUGGAAAUGAGCAAGAAAAUAAUAGCAUGAGCAUACGUGAUAGGUCCCAACUCAUGAAUUUGGAGGUCCUCAUAAAAAAUUUUCAAAUUUUUUUUUGCGUGCUCAUGGCUAAAGAUCUAUGGGAUAAUACAAAUAGAAAAUUGUGGAAUUUAAGCUAUUUCAAAAAUGGGCCUGAAGAUGCGGAUAUGAGUGAGAAAAAAAUGGUGUGAUCAUGCGCGAUGGUUCCCAACUCAAUAUAGAGGUCAUCCUACAAUUUUCUUAGAAAUUUUUUGAGUGCUCCAAGCGCCAAAUCUAUGAGCUAAUACAUAUAAAAAAAUUGAAGAAUUCACGCGAUUCACAAAAAUGACAUAUGGAUGCGAAAAUGUGCGCGAAAAAAAUGGUGUGAGCAUACAUGAUGGUUCUGCAACUCAAUACGGUGGUCCUCAUAAAGUUCUUUCAGAAACAUCUUUUGGGUGCUCCAAAAGUCAGACCCAUAGGCUAAUACACACAAAAAUUGAAGUAUUUGCGUGAUUUCAGAAAAGGCAUGUAUAUGCAAAAAUGGGAGAAGAAAAUGGUGUGAAUAUAUAUACGUGAUGGUUCCCAACUCCAUACGGAGAUCCAUAUAAAGUUUUUUGAGAAAAUAAUUUUUGGUGCUCCGAAUAUAUCGUCUGUAUGGUUGCUACGGAGCAUCUGAUUUGUAUAGAUCGACAUAUCAUUUGUAUUAAAGCGCAAUGAUUGUAUAUAUAUAACUAUAACAGAGGAGGAGGAGGGACUAGGGAAGAGGAGGAGGAGGAGGAGGAAGUUGUCUCAAUGUAUUUGAUAAAUAGUUUUUGUGAUAAGAGGCGGACCCACCCUUUUAGGUAGGGUGCACGUGCACUUGUUAAUUUCGGUAAAUAAAAUCAUGAGUUUGUGAGUGUAUGUGUGUGUAUUGAUAUAUAUUGAAAAAUUGAGAGAAAUUAGAAUAUAAUUAACGUACUCAUCAUAAAAAGCAUAAGUAUAUAUGUUAUUGUGCUGCCGGUACAAGCUAAAGUAUGCACAUGCAAGACUUGAAUUUGAAUCUAGCUAGAGUGUUGUUUCACUUUUUUUUAUGUUAAGCUUAUCAUAGAGGCUAAAGCUUAUAUUUGAGCUAAGGUAAUAUUGGUGCACCAACUUCAAAUUCCGAUUCGCCUUUUGCAGCAUUAGUUAUUUUUAGCCAAUACGAUAACUAAAAUGGAUCGGAGGGAAUAUCAUGAUUUGAAUAAAGGAUCUAACCAGAGUCAAAUUUAAAUAUAUUGAUGAAAUUUCUAAAAUUCCAACGUUAUAUCAUCCUUUUCUUAAGAAUUACCAAAUCAUAAUUAGAGUUGAGAAAAAUUUAAAGCAGAAAAUAACAUGUAUUACUAUAUGAAGAUUGGGUUGUAACAUAAGCAACCACCAAUGUUCAUUACAAGACUCGACAAUAUAUAAGUACUCCAAAUUACAAAAGAAAAGAGACAACAUAUAUAUAUAUAUAUAUAUAUAUAUAUAUAUAAUGAUGGAUCAAACUCGAUAGAUAAAUCCAUCUUAUUCUUCAUCUCCACAAGCCAGAUUUAGCUUUCAUCAACCUUACUGGACCCUGCAAUGCAAUAUUAAAUCAACAUUAAAUAUAUAGUAUGCGCGUACACACAUAUAUAUCGUUUUGUAACAUAUAAGUUUAAUCAAUAGUCAGACAUAUAUAAAUUACAAAUAAAAGAGAUAUUAUACUGUCAAUUGAAUAAGUAUAAUCACCGUACGUUGAGCAAUCAGUGGAAGGGCUGAUCUUGUAAGGAAUGUUGACUCCACAAACUCCAGGGAGCCCAGCGGCUUUUCCUGUAUCAAUGCCCUUAAUAGAAUUAGCUGCCGAUUUAAGGCAAGUGCACGCUGUCUUCCGGUCUUCUGGGGUCUUGGCUGCGCCCAAUAGACCCUUAACACCACCACAACACCCUCCUAGAGGGCCGCGACCCUCGAGAUAAGGGAGACAAGGAGCCAAGCCAGACGUAACCUCGCCGCAGCUCAGUGACUCUGCAUGGGGUGCAACCACCACCAUGCAAAAAACCACAAAGCAUGCAAUUUUUCCAAACAUUUCCAUUCUUAUAAAAAAAUUGAGUAAAGAUUAUAGAUAUAGUAGUACAAUUGUAUUUGUUUUGUGUGUUAGGUGUAAAAGCUAGUGAGUAUUUAUAGAGAGGAAAUUAGUGGAAUUAAAAAUGAGAGAAUUAGUUGGGAGUUAAGAGUUAAAUGAAAUGAGUAUAAAGUCAAAUUUCGUUUGUUACGUGACUAAUUUUUAUUGAACCACGCUAUACACGAUUUAAGGCCCAAUCCACAAAUUGUCCCAAUACUACUUUUCCUGUUACAGUGACGAAGUCAGAAAAUUUAAUUAUAUCGUAAUCUUUUUCUUAAAAUAAUGUGUGUUCGAUGGCUCUACUCAUGCUUUGAAUCAUUUUAUUUUUUAUUCUUUAUGGUAUAAAGUAAAUGUUUUUUUUUUAGAAAAAAAAAAAAUACAAGGAGAAGAGUGGUUAUUAAAUAAAGAAGAGUAAUAAAUAAGGAGAAGGGUGGGAUGUAAAAAAGUCAUAAUACAUGAAAUUGAUUAAACAAUGUCUCGAGUACAAACUAAGGAGACAGAGUACCUUACUGUUAGAUGUGGAAAUAUUAUGGUACAUGAGUUAAUUUUGAAACAAAUGACCCAUUAAUUUCUUUUAAAAAUUGGAUUUAAGGUGUAAUGUUUAUUUAUUUAAAUAAAUCAAUUUGCUUUCAUGACUUUUUAUUUUUAAAAAUGAGUUUAAGGUGUAAAGUUUAUUACUUAAUUAUAAAUGAUUAAAUAUUUUUGUAUGUUCAAUACAAAUGCUUGUUUCCGGUCAAAAAGAUCAUGAAAAAAGUAUACAAAAUAAUUAAACCUAUAGCAAAAUUAUAAUUAUGUGUUAUAGUUAUAAGUUGCAUAAUUUGCUCACCAUAGCGAAUAUGCUAUGGCUAUUUCGCUACAUAUAUAUAUAUAAAAGAAUUUAAGAUAUAUAUAUUUAUAUAUAUAUAUAUAUGUGUGUGUGUGUUAUAGUUAUAAGUUGCAUAAUUUGCUCACCAUAGCGAAUAUGCUAUGGCUAUUUCGCUACAUAUAUAUACAAAAGAAUUUAAGAUAUAUAUAUAUUUAUAUAUAUAUAUAUAUAUAAUAUAUAUUUGCAUAAAUUAUUGUCCGUCUCUCGUGGCUGCCUUUCAAUUCAAUUUUAUGUGUUUGUAUAUCUGUAUAUAAUUUGAAUUUGUAUACAAUUUAAUCGAAAUAAAAUGUUGGUAUAUCAAAUAUUGCUCUCUGUUAUACAUUGUAUUUUAUAUAAUCUAUACUUCUAUAAAGCGAGAAAGAGAAAGACAAAAGAGACCUAAGCAUGAGAAUAUUUGGAUUGUAUAAUUAUAAGUGUAUAGAACAAAAAUAUUUGUAUUUGCAUGUGUACAUACAAUUUUCUUCCGCUUUGUACAAACAGAAACACAAUUUAUACAUUUUUGUUUGUAUAAAGCGAGAGAGGCGGGGGAGAGACUGGCGAACAAGAGAGGGAGAGUGUCGAGCGAGAAUUUCAAGGAGAGAGGCGAGAACUGUGGUUUUAACAUCUAAUUUAAAUCAAUAGUUUGUCAUUAUAUACAAUUUUCUCAAUUAAAAAAAAAUAAAUCUUUUUAUUAAAUUAAUUUAAUUUACUUUUCAAUUUGGAUCGGUUUAUAACUAAACCUAUCAAAUCUUAUACAACAAUUCGUCAAACCUCAUGUCCCUGAUUACCCCUUCUUCCUUGUGGAGAGGUUUAACAACCAUCAAAGGAUAUAGGGCCACCCUAUAAUAAAACAAACUUUAAACGGUAAUAGAUAUAUAAUACAAUUAUUAAUUUUAUCAUUAACAUAAUAGAAUUAGUUAAUUAUCAUUGGUGUACUAUAGUUAUAGGCUUGAAAAUAUUUAUAAAGAGUGUUAAUUAUCUUUAAAAUAAAAUGUUUUGUCACAAUUAAGCUAUUAUUAUUAAUUAAUUAUCGCUAAAUUAAAACUAGUAGCGAAACUAGAAUCAGAAACAGAUUUAAAAAAAAUAUACGAAAUAUUUUUCUUAAAGAAGAAUUGUUGUUAAUAUGUGUCUAAAGAAUCUUACUCAUUCCAACAAGCUUUGCAAAAACACGAAGUUACCAAGUUUAAUGAACCAGUGAAGAACAAAAGAAUAGAAGAAUUGGAAUUAAUUCACAAAUCUAAAAUUUGUAAAGCACGUACCAGAAUCUGAAAAUUUUUAAUAGGAAAAAGAUCAAGUCUACUGAACUCACAGUGUUCCCUUAAGGAAAUUAUUCCCCUCUAGUAUCCGAGGUUUGAUUUGGAAUAUGACCUUCCAGGGUAAAAUAAUCUCAAUCAUCAGAGUAUAGAUACCAAAAACUCAGGUGUCAGUGAACCACUCAACGACAGUAAAGUACACUUAGAAUACUAGAUUUAGUAGUUGAAGAAGAAGUCCAUCAAUUCUAUUUUAAUAUGAGAGGAAAUCCCUCAAUUUAUAGAAAACAAAGGGUAGUGCAAAAAGGUUCUUAUUGUGCCUUACCGAAAAGGUCACAAACCUUUGGAAAAGUCACAAUCUUUCAGAAAGGUCGUCACCUUUCAUAAAAGUCACAACUUUCCAUAAAAGUCACAAGUUUUUAUAAAAGUCGCAACUUUUCAUAAAAGUCGCAAACUUUCAUAAAAAUCACAAUUUUUCAUAAAAGUCGCAAUUCUUCAUUUUCCAUUCACACCUUUUUAAAAUCGAACAAAAGAUCUUCGAUAUGAAUUAAUUUCUCUUAAUAAGACUCUACGUGAUUUGAAUAUGAAAUUAUCUAAGUUUAAUAUAAAUAAUAGUCAAAUUUUAAUACAAAUAUAAAAAGAAAAUAGAAAGAAGUUUGACGAAUAUGAGGUGGACACAAAUUGCCAAUCUAAUAGUCGACUGAGACUGAAGAAAUUAAUUGCGACAACAACCAAUGAAUACGACUUUCUCUAUUCAUUUUAAUUAUUCAUAAUAUUAAAAAAAAAAAUUAAUUUAUCCACUUAAUUAGCUUAUCAAGAUAAAUUAUAUAUUUUAUUUUAUUAUUAUUAGCUAUGUAUUCUAUUUUAUUUUUCAAAUUCAUUGAGACUAUAUAUAUAUAUAUAUAUAUAUAUAUAUAUUAUUGCUAUUUCUUAAUGGAACUGUAAAGCUUCUUAUAAACAAGUAAAAAUAACAAAGCUUAUAUUUAUUAAUACAUAGGUUCAAAAUUAUUACCCCUAAGAAAUUAAAAAGGUAUUAAUUAUUUUCUCGCAAGUAAUUUCUUUCAAGUUUCAUAAUGUACAAAGCAUUUAAUAAUCUUUCAUAAUUGAUAUUUUCUAAUAAUUUCUUUUCAAUUAAUAAUAUAACCAAUCUAUGCAGAUUAAUAAUUUUUGAACAUAAUAUUUCAAAUAUAUAUAUAUCAAACUUCUUCUAAUUUUUUUUCUUUCUAUACGAGAAGCUCAAUUUUUCUAUAGUACGCUAUUAUUUUUUGUAAUAAAAAAUAAAAUCUAUUAUUGCUAAAAAGCAAAUGCCCUUCCUUCAAAUUUUGAGGUCUUAAAGGCACUUAUCUUUUGUUAAUUAACCUUGUAGAAUUUGUACUAGAGUAUUGUGGUCCCGUUUGACUUCAAAUAUAUUACGAGAAAAUUUGCAAGAAAAUUUAAAAAAUAAUGUUUGAUCAUAUAAUUUAUUAUUAUUUAGCAAAUAUCUAUCAAAUAUUUUAAUUUUUAAAUUUUAGAAAAAAAAUAAUAUUUGAGUAAAGUUCUAAUAUUUAGAAAUUCAAAUAAAUCACGUCAAACUUUUAUAUUUUAUAAAUAGCAUUCGACAUUUAUUAAUUCCAACUAAUAUUUAUCUACCAAGUUACUCUAUUAAUAACUAAUAAUUACUCAUCUGUGCUAUCUAUAUAGAACCAGACCCAAAAAUAACAAAUUAUUGUUAAUGAAUUAUCAUUAAUAACAAUUAAUUGAUGUAAUGUGUAACAACUUCAAUUUCACAAUAGAAACAUUCAAAUAUUAUAAUCGUUAAAGUCAAAGUUACAACGGAAAAUGAAACUAACAAGAAAAUCGUAAAACGAUAAUGAACUAGUAAAACAAAGAAACCAUUGAAGAAGACUACUAGAAGGGAGAUGAGAAACACAGACUCAAAAAAAGGAAUGAGAGGACUAGACACUUUUCUACAAUAAUUUACGUAAUCCCUAAAUCACGUAUUACUUAUAUUGAAAGUUCGAACCGUUUUAUACCCACUACUCAAUUCGAAUCCCAAAUUAACCUGGUCCUAUAUUUUUAGCCCAAUAACAACUUAUAUGACAUUAAUAUCUAUAUUUGGUUAAACUUGAUUCAUAACAUAUUGCUCCUACCCAUAUUUUUAUUUUGUUGUGAAUUGAUAUUAAUUACUUUAUAAGCUAUUUUUUUAAAAAGGAAUAUGUUUAUUAUAAAAUGACAUUACAAACUUAAAAUAAUUUGUCAAAAAAAUUUAAAAAUUUGAGGCACACUAGAUGUGUACCGUGUUGUGAUAGAUGGGUUGUGUAGAGAGAGGAGAUUUACGAAAGCACAAAAUUGUUUGAUAACAUACUUUUUAAUUUGCUUUUAUAAUCCUCUUUUUUUAGAAAUAUUUUAUUUUUAGUUUUUAGGUAACAUGUUUAAGGUCAUAAUAAGACUAAAUGUCGUUUUGAUAUAUUUGACAUAACUUCAAUUUAGGAUCACAAGAUUAAAUUAUCUUUUUAAACUUUGUAUCAAGUUAAAUUAGAUUGUUAUUUUUUGAAAUGAGAGAAAAUGAUCAAAUGACCCCUUAACGUAUAACCGGAUUUUCAACUAUACACUUAAAUUUUAUGGGAGUCCUAUCACCCUCUGAACUAUUUAAAAAUGAAAUAAUUAUACCGUUAAAAAGCCAUAACCACCAAAUCUAUGGUGGAAUGUGAGUUUCACCACAUCAUCAAAUUAUUAUUUUUUUAAUUCUUUUCUUAUAUAUUCUUACCUAUCUCUUGAAAUACUGAAGAUAUUUUCACCAUUUUCACCAUUACUAGAACACCACGAGUCCAUUAAAAUUGGGUCUUUAAGGAAUAAUAAUAAUUUCAGAGCUCGUUCAAAGAUAUUUGGAUUUUGCUCAUUUGAAACCUAAAAAUCAAAUUAGAAAAAGUUGAAGGGGGAAGAGAAGACGAAUAUGAUGGAAUAUUGCCAUUAAUGGUGGUCACCGAAGAUAAGAAAUCCUCUCAAGAAAGAUGAGGAAGAGGAGCCUACCAUGUCUUCCACAUUGUCAUCUAUAGCGACGACAAUUUCAAAAAAGAAGACACCGAUUAUACGACAAUUGAUGGACUAACUAGAUUAAUAGCUAGAAUUUUUGAGAUAUAGUUGAUUAAUUGAGAUUUGAUAUUAGUAAUUAAAGGAUAUAUUAGAAAAAAAUUAUUUUUUUCUGGUUGGCCCAAUCAGAUUCAAAGUAAACUCAUAUUAAUUUUUCUCAAAUCAGAUCCAAAGCAUCUUGGGGUGAUAUAAAUAUAUGUCAUCAAUUGAUUUAGGUUGAUUGAUUUUGCAAGAGCUUUAUAAAUGUUUGAAAAUUUGUUUGGAGUCGACGAAAGUGAAGAUGGUGGCUGUAAGACUUAGGUGAUUGAGAGAUUUGUUUAUAUUGAUGGACAAGAAAGAAAACAAACAAAUAAUUAAAAAUGCAUAUAUUUGUUGAAAAAAGAUAUUCCAUCUGUUUCACAAAAAAUGAUUUGGUUUGACUUGACAUGAAGUUUAAGUAAAUAAAGAAGACUUUUGAAUCUUGUGGUCGUAAAUCAAAGUUAUGUCAAAUGUACAAAAUUAUCUUUUAAUUUUAUGGUCUUAAAUAUGGCACGUGGAAAGCUAAAGUUAAAAUGUUAGAGGUCAUUCUUUUGGAAAUAAACUAAAAUGGAAAGAAUGUCACUCUUUUUUAAAUAAAAAAGAGUUUAACUACUAUCCACCGACGGUGGACAAAAAAUUACACGGGCAUAUAUUUUUGGAAAUAUUUAAUUUUUUAAUUAAUAUAUUUUAAUAUUAUUAAUAUUAAAAUAAAAAUAAUAACAGAGUGUUAUAUGGUAACUUGAAUUAUAAAUUAAUUGUACAAAUUUAAUUAGGAUUCUUAUUUGUCUUACCAAAAACAAAAAAUACAUAAUUUCUUGUGUUUUCUUAUUGGAAAGCACUUCAAUCCUUCAAAGAAAAUCAUUGCCAACAUAUUUUUUUUUAUAAGAACCGGUACUUGUUGCCAUUGAAGCAAUGCUAGCAAAAUAUUAAUAAGAAACUAUUCCAGAAACAUAAAGUGCAACAAAAUCAACAUAUUCAAACUUAUAAGAGUAAGCAAACAAAAUCAAACACUAUUAAAUACGGCCCAUGAUUUAAUCACAAUUGCAUGCUUGGUUACAUUUUUUUAAACGAAAUCCUUCUUUUGAACAAACAAACUCUUGACCAAUAAUGGAUUUAUCUUUUCUUGAUCUACUAAUUCGAUUUUUGCGCACACUAAAACCAUUACGAUGAGCAUAAUCAAGAUAAAAUUUAAAUCUAGUAUCAAGUGAUUGAAAUUCCAUACCGAUGUAAGACUCUCUUAAUUCUUGCUCACCUAGUUGAGGAACAAAAGAUACAACUGCAUUCAUGUUGCUUUCUAUAUCCUCCAAGGAAUCUUCAAUUCCUUCUGCAUUUUGCUCUUCUAAAUUAGAGAUUUCAAAAGUUUCCUGCAAUACACAAUUAUUAGAUAUUAGACUAAUAGGGUAAGUUAGCUUUAAAAUUUUAAAUAUUUUUCAUGGCUAAUGUAUUGAACUUCUUCAAUUUGCUAAAAAGUUCUUAAACGUAUUCUUUAAAUAUCUUCAUCACUACAAAACAUAAAUUUCUUCAUACAUUAAAACAAGAAUAUUUCUUUGAAACGUUUAUUCAUGUUGCGAAAAAGAUUUAAUAAGUUAUGUAAAAAAAGAUAUACGAGGAAAACGCUACCAUGAUAAUUGUUUCAAAUUGCUUCAAUGGUGGAUAGUUGGUUGCUUCAAUGGUUUAUGUAGAAAAAGAAGAACGUUAAUCCAACUAAGAAAACACAAGAAAUUAUGUAUUUUUUAUUUUUGGUAAGACAAAUAAGAAUCCUAAUUAAAUUUGUACAAUUAAUUUAUAAUUCAAGUUACCAUAUAACACUAUGUUAUUAUUUUUAUUUUAAUAUUAAUAAUAUUAAAAUAUAUUAAUUAAAAAAAUUAAAUAUUUCCAAAAAUAAAAUGUCCGUGUAAUUUUUUUGUCCACCGUCGGUGGAUAGCAGUUAAACUCUAAAGAUCAAAUAAAGUUUUAAUAACAGAUUUUGGUGCUCACUCUCCAGAGAGAGUCAAAUACAUUUAGGGAACUAAUUAUUUCAAUUUUGAAUAGUACAAGGGAUGAUUAGACCCCCGUGAAAUUUAAUUGUAUAGCGUUGAGGGCAUUUAAUCAUUUUCUCUUUGAAACAGAGAAUAUAUAUCAUUACGGAUCUAAUCUCCAAAAGAUGAAGAGUGAGUAAACCCUGAAUAAUUUGCGACAUUUAAUACGUUGUUUACUUUAAUUAAUGGACUUAUAAUAAUAAGUUGGAAAGGACCGAAAAAGUUUAAUAUAUAUUGCAUGGUGAAUUUGUACCUUCAUGAAUUUAUUUAAAAGUAUACUUUUUAUAGGCAUUUGUGAUGGUGAUGAUGUUAUAAGUAUAUUUCUCAAUAAUUAGCAUUAUACGUGUAAGAAGUGGUUAGAAAAAGGAGGUACCUAGAUGAAUGAGCACACAAUAGCGUAUACUAUAUUACUCGAAUUUGAUAUAUAUGUGUAAUGCAUAUUAAAAGAACCCUAGUAAAAGUAGACCAAAAAUAUUGAAUAGACGAGAGAGUACAUAUACCAAAUAAGAUAGAUGUGUAUUAUCAAAGAUUAGAUUAAUACAACAUAGCCAAUCGUGAAAUUUCGAUACAAGACUCGACUACACACGAUUUUAAAAGAAACACAGGAAAACAGAAAGUAACAACUGAUAUAAUAUAAUCAAUCGUCAAAUUUCGAAACAAGACUCGAGUACAUACGAUUUUAAACGAAACACAGAAAAAAGAGAAAGUGACAACUGAUACAACAUAGAAAGAAAGGAUCCAUAAGCAAGAUCAAUGCUAUCUAUCUUAUUCUUAAUUCUCCUCAUGAAACCAAAUUCUGAUGAUCAGCUUUACUGAACUCUGCAUUGAUAAUGAACAAAACCAACAUUAAUAAUAAUAAUGAUGAUAACAAAAACAUAAUGUACUAACUAUAAUAGUAUUUUUUUUAUUAUAUAAUUACAUAUAUAAAUAUUUUGAAACUAAUAUUUCUUAACAGUAAAAUAUAAAUAAAAAAAUGCACUUAUUUUUUGAGAAAACCAAACACACUUGUAGGUGCUAGCACAUAUCAUUUUUUUGUUACUUUAUUUUUCAUACUACGAAGAGUUAGGUGUUGUUAUAGGUAAAAAAAGAUGAAAAAUUUAACAUACUUAGAGCAGUCAGUAGAGGGGCUGAUCUUGUAAGGGAUGUUGACACUACAAGUGUUAGGGAGAGCAGCAGCUUUGCCCAAAUUGAGUCCUGUAAAAGAAGAAGCAGCUGAUUUUAGGCAAGUGCAUGCGGCCUGUCGGUCUACUGUAGUCUUGGCUUGACCCAAAAGACCCUUAACACCAUCACAACAGUUUCUGAGAGGACCGCGGUUCAUUAGAUAAGGGAGACAAGGAGCCAAGGUAGAUGUAACUUGACCACAAGUUAAAGCCUCUGCAUGGGGUGCAACCACUACCAUGCAUAAAAGCACAAAGCAUGCAAUCUUGUUAACCAUUUCCAUUCUUAAUGAUUUAUGAAAAUUAGAAUAGUAAUUAUGAGGUUUAUGAGGAAGUAGUGGAUGAGAAGAAAUGUGUUUUGGUUGAGUGUUUUUAUAGAGGGAAAUUUGGAGUAGAUGGCCAAUGGAGGAGUGAGAGAGGUAGUUGGUUGUUAGGUUGAAAAUUUAAAGCAUUUUUAUGGUUGUACAUUAUUUUGCUGGCUCUAAAGUCAUGUGGUAGCUAGUUCUAACAUCUUACGUGUAGGAGUUUUUUUUUUCUCACCAAAGUUCCCAUAAAUAGAUUCCUCGAUCAAUGUAGGACUUUUACCUACUUUAAUAUCCCUUUUUUUACGUAGAUCCAAUUGAGAUGUGGAUCGAAAAUUCAAACAGGAAUGAAUAUAACUCUAAUAUCAUGUUAAGAUAUGUUUUUUAGAUCUAAUUUAAUAAUAAAUGCUAGCUUAUGAGAGGAGUAUUGUCCACAUCCUUAUAAGUAAAUCAUCAGUUUAUUUCCUGAUUAACGUGAGACUUUUACCUACUCUAACAGUUUGAUCGAAGAUUUUUUUUAAAAAAAAAUUAUGAAGUUAUAGAGUUAAAGAUGAAAUUGUAUUGGAUAAUACUUUUACGAAAGAAUAAAAAUGAUGUGAUUAUAGCUUUAAAAAUAAAAAAAAUAAUUAAGAUUUUAAAUACAACUUCAAGUUAAAUAUUUUACGACCAUAAAUUUAAAUUUGGGAAGUGACGAAGUUUAUUUUACUUCUGGCGUUCUUAGCUGGAUUACAACAACGUUUAAUUAAUCAAGGUCUUCAUUAGUGUUUAGACACUUAACCACCCAAGUCUUUAAUGCUUUUUCUACUUACCAGCUUUAUCUCUUAAAAAUUGAUACAAAAUGACUACGUAUUAUAUUUUAUAAAGUUGAAAAUGUGUUCCAUUUUCUUUUUCAAAAUUAUCCUUAACACGUUCCUUAUUAAAUGUAUACAUUUAGAAAUAAUCAUAUCAAUACACGAUCAAUAGUUAUAACGUAUACUUGUUUCUUAGUAUUUCUUAACCCUUUAAUCACCAAAGAUGACGGUGGUUUUAUAAAUAGGCAUUUCAUUAAUAUAGAUUUUGAGUUUAAAUCAUAUUAAUUAUAAAGUCAUAUUAGUCAUUUUUUUAUGGUACCAACACUACAAUUAAUUACCGCUACAAUAUGCAUUUUUAGCGGGAAUUUAACACUCUUUAUAUAUGUUUCUAAAGUCUUUAGCGACAUUGAUUUUAACGACAUUUAACUAAUGCAGGUAAAGACUUUAACACUCUUUGUUAAUGUCAGCAUUUAUUACCGUCAAAAGCUGUUUUUUGUGGUAGUGCAAUUUAGGAUAAAAAGUCUUACAUCGAUCAAAUACAUGAAAGAUACUUUUCGUUUUUUAAGAGUCAAACAAUUUAAGUUUGACUAGUAAUUUACACACGGAAUUUUCUUUUUAUUGAAAUGAAAUGUAUAUAUAUACUUAUAAACUACGUAAAAGUAUUAUAAGUCAUAAUUCAAAAUAUUUUUAAAAUGUAUAAAAAAUUUACGAUUAAAAUAGAUUUGUUUGAAUCUCGAUAUUCAAAAAGUGUCACAUAAAAUGAGACGAAUGGAAUAUAUAUAUAAUACGUUAGUGAUGCGUUAUAAAAUUAUAUGGGCUUAAAUCUAAAAUGGACAAUAUUACUAAUGACUUGAACCUUUAAAAAUGAUAUCUGUUCAACUCAUGUGUCAUCUUUAUUGAUAUAUAUGGACCAAAGCUCUACAUAUAGGCAAAAUCUCAUGUGGUGGAGUAAACCACUGCGUCUAUAUAAGAGGAGGUGCAUGUGAAACCCCAGAUAAAAAGUGUAACAUCAACAAAAUCAAUUGAUGAAAACAUAAAUUAUAUAAAUAAGCAAAUUUUACAUUUUAAUGACAUAUUUUAAAAUCGCGCAGACCUAGAUUUAACUAGAUUCAGGUAGGAAAAAAGAAACAGAACCUGACACUUUGACGUUUCUUAUAUGUUGCACAAAGUGUUGAUUGCUAAUUGGACCACGAAUUCAGCUAUAUUAUUACAUGCUUUCUCUUGGUCCAUGUAGUAUAAAUUUGUGUCGGUCCCAAUAUUAAUUUGGUAGAAGUUGAGUAAAGAUUUGAGCCACCCAAACUCAUUAAUUAGGCCAAACAAGAGGAAAUUUCUUUGAGACAUAUAGUCUUACCUAGAGGCCUAUAAUUUGGUGUAUAAUGUGGGGAUAUGUUUCACAUGUAUGAGUAUUAUAAAGUUUAUAUAAGUUUUAUAUAAAUGAUUUUCUUUAAGAUAAUAAAAUAAUAUUUACUGACCUUUCCAGAUUGGAUUAUUUUUUGACCUAUAAUUUUAGGUUGAUUUUCUCUGAGUUGUUUCAUAUAUCAAUUUUGACUAUUUGUUUAAAUAGUGUAUUAAUAAUACGAGGUUGUGUAUUGAUUGGUGUGGUUCGAUUUGAGAAUUUAUCAGUUUUAUUUAUUGAUUAUUGGUUUGUAAUCAUAUUUUAACCGUUAUUGAACAGUUAAAAUAUUAAUUUAUCGAUUAUUGGAUUAUUAGUUAGUGAUCGCUAUCGAUUUGAUUAUUGGAUUAACAGUUCAAACAAUUCCCAUUGAGAAUUACUAAUGGACUAAUCACUCAUUACAAUACGCAGUAGUCAGUAGUCACUAUGAACUUUCCCCGGUUAGUCUAUCUACAUAAAAUACUUAAUGAAACUCCAUAUUAAUUCAAAUAGAGAUGUCAAUAUUGCCCAAACUAGCAAAUUCAAAAGGAUUUCUCAUAACAACCAAGCCAAUUUUGAUAUGAACUAUAAAGAGAAACCAUUACGACACUGCUAACAAAAAUCAUUAAUGAUCAUGAGACUUACUAAUAAAAGCUUUUUCGUUUGCAAAUUCUAGCAUAGGGCGAUAUACAGACAUAUCUCAUUGACUCACUCACUGUAACUAGAAGAUAAAAACAAACACUUAAAGUAAGGGAACCAACCAUCUUAACCUCAAUUUUAGACACUUAGAAAAUGCUAUUCAGUAUAACUUUUUGGCGUGGGAGCAGUGACAGUGAAUUAAUGAGUGAUGUCGCAACUCUAAAAAUUCCUAAGGCCUUAAGUGAUAUAAAUGUAAGAUACUAAACUUGUUAUUAGGUUAUCACGACACUCAAUUAGAAAUAUGGCUAAACCGAAAUCCAAAUCGGUAAGACGAUGAAAAGUUUAUAAUAAAUUGAGAUUCGAACCGUUAAAUUAUUAAUCUGAAUCUUUGACCCAAUAAUAAAUAUCAAUCUCGAUUUGAUUUGAUCAGCUCUAUGGUGAUAUUUCAAAUAAAAAUCAUGAAGUUAAAUUAAAAAUUGUUGUUUUUUAAGUUGCCACCUAAUGCAUGGAAGAACUUGAUUAAAAAAGUGUCACGACCCAAAUCCGGGCCGCGACUGGCACCACACUUACCCUCCUAUGUGAGCGAACCAACCAAUCUAACCUUAACAUUUCAAUAUAAUAUCAACAGAAAGUAAUGCGGAAGACUUAAACUCAUUAAAUAAAGACCAAUUCAUUAACUUCUAAAAUUCAACAUCUAUUAUUCCCCAAAAUCUGGAAGUCAUCAUCACAAGAACAUCUACGAUCAAACGACUAAACUAAGAGUAUUCUAAAAGCUAAAAAUACAUAAGAAGCUAGUCCAUGCAGGAAGUUCAAGGCAUCAAGACUUGAAGAAGAAGAUCCAGUCCAAGCUAGAAGCAUUAGCUCACCCUGAAUUUCCGAUGUAGCAAGACUGACUUGAAUUACUGUUGAGUUGAAGACGAUGGCACGUUUGCUGCACUCCACAAAUAAACAAGAAGAGAACAUAAAAGUAGGGGUCAGUACAAAACACGGGUACUGAGUAGAUAUCAUCGGCCAACUCAAAAUAGAAAUCAAUAUAUACCAAGUAAUAUCAUAAAAUCAACUAUGAUACUCAACAUGUAGCAACAACAAAUACUAUAUCGUUAACAAUUACCGUCAAGUUCACACAUGAGGACUCAAGCCUCGAUACCAUACUCAUUUGGGAAUCAUGUUCAUUAGAUUGAGUAUAUUAACAUCUUUCAAGAUUCAUUAUCUUUAUUUCUCUGUGUCGGUACGUGACACUCCGCUCCCUCAAUAUUCAUUAAUCCUCUUGUGUCGGUACGUGACACUCCGAUCCCCUAAAUCUAUGUGUCGGUUCGUGACACCCGAUCCCCUAAAUCUAUGUGUCGGUUCGUGACACCCGAUCCCCUAAAUCUACGUGUCGGUUCGUGACACCCGAUCCCCUAUACUACGUGUCGGUUCAUGACACCCGAUCCCUAAAUCUAUGUGUCGGUUCGUGACACCCGAUCCCCUAAUUCUACGUGUCGGUUCGUGACACCCGAUCCCCUAAUACUACGUGUCGGUUCGUGACACCCGAUCCCCUAAUUCUACGUGUCAGUUCGUGACACCCGAUCCCGAGCCAUCCAAUGGUUCGUGCACACGACUCAUAAUCUCUAUGUCGGUUCGUGACACCCAUCCCCAAAUGUCUACGUGUCGUGUUUCGUGACACCCGAUCCCCUAAUCUAUACGUUGUCGGUUAUGACACCCUCCCUUCACGUGUCAGUUCGUGACACCCGAUCCUACUUAAUUCUACGUGUCGGUUCGUGACACCCGAUCCCUAAUCUCCUUCCAUCAAUUCAUCAAGCCUUCUUUCUCAAUUGUAUCUCAAAAAUGAGAAUUAAUUCUCAAUUGUGCUAAACGUGUAUUUUUAGCGGCAAUUGACACUCUUUGUAUCUGUCCCUUAAACUUUUAAACGACAUUGGUUCUAAUGAAACUUAACUAAUGUCGGUAAAGACUUUAACACUCUUUAUUAGGCCUCAUUUGUUUGCACUUAAUGGAGGUCUGAAUCUAAAUCAUUCAAAUUCAGCUUAUUAAGUACAUUUGGUUUUAGGUUUGAAUCUCAAUCAGCCCAUUAAGUUCAUUUGUUUUAUUUUUAAAAAGCCUCUUAAUGGGUCUGAAGAGGUCUGAAUGAAUCAGAUCUGUAGGAGACUCUUAACAACAUUCAGAUUUGUUUAAUAAGUUAUCAAAUAAUAAAUAUCGCUUCUCUACUUUAACCGUGCUUUUUAUCGCAUAACUAAAAACUUUGUUUUUCUCUUUUCUCAAUCAAACGUCAUUUUCCCCUUCUUGAACUGAUAAAUUUUCAUAAAUCUUUUCAAGUUUUUUUUUAUAUUAAUAAUUUUCUUGUAUUGACUGUGUCAAAAACAUUGUUGGUGUAUUAGCUAGCGUUUAUCAAGGUUUUUGAAUGAAAAAAAUUUCCAAAAUCAUGAUUAUUAAAACUUUUUAUUAUCAAAAGCGAUAUAUUUUGUUGAAAUGAAUUUUUAUUAUUUUUAUUAGUUUAAUGUUAAUUUCACAUGCACAUUCAGAUAUUGAAAACAAACAAUAUUAAUUAUUUAGUGUUCAGAUUUAGAGACCACAUCUUAAUAUUCAGAUGUGUAUUCAGAUCAAAGUACCUGAAUCUUAAUAUUCAGAUGUGUAUUCAGAUUCAGACCUCUUAGUCUGGCUGGAAACAAAUAAGGCCUUCCGCUAUUUUUGUUGUAGUGAGUGGUAAUUAAUUAAAAUUAUAGUUAUAUAAACUAAUUAGCUAGUAUAUGUUUGCUUAACUAUACUAUUUUCCCAAAUAAGUUUAUAUUAUCCAUCAUAAAAUAUAAAUAACCACACGUAUUAGAAUGUAUAAAAAUAAUGUACAAUAGAGUAUAUUAGUAACACUUAUAUAUUAGUAAUAUUUGUAUUAGUUAUGCUUGCAUUAGCUAUAUAUAACUUUUUAUUUAUGCAUUGUUUGGUUUGAUGUAUUAAAAAUAGUACGCAUUGUAUAAUUAUAUUUAUUUACAAAAUAGUCUCCACAAUUAUGACGGAAAAAACGUAAAAUGUUUUUAGGGUCAAUUGGGUCUUUAACCAUAUUAAUACACAUAAAAAUUAAGAAAUUGACGCGACUCCUUAAAAAGGGCAUGUAAUUACAGUGGGCGCGAAAUGGCGUGAGCAUAUGUGAUGAUUCCCCAACUCAAUGCGGAGGAGCUCGUAAAGUUUGCUGAGAAAGUUUUUUGUGUGCUUUGAGCGCAAGAUCCAUGGGUUACCACAUAUGAAAAAUUAAGGAAUUUCUGUAAUUCCUAAAAAAAGGGCCUGUGGGUGUGGAAAUGAGCAAGAAAAUAAUAGCAUGAGCAUACGUGAUAGGUCCCAACUCAUGAAUUUGGAGGUCCUCAUAAAAAAUUUUCAAAUUUUUUUUGCGUGCUCAUGGCUAAAGAUCUAUGGAUAAUACAAAUAGAAAAUUGUGGAAUUUAAGCUAUUUCAAAAAUGGGCCUGAAGAUGCGGAUAUGAGUGAGAAAAAAAUGGUGUGAUCAUGCGCGAUGGUUCCCAACUCAAUAUAGAGGUCAUCCUACAAUUUUCUUAGAAAUUUUUUGAGUGCUCCAAGCGCCAAAUCUAUGAGCUAAUACAUAUAAAAAAAUUGAAGAAUUCACGCGAUUCACAAAAAUGACAUAUGGAUGCGAAAAUGUGCGCGAAAAAAAUGGUGUGAGCAUACAUGAUGGUUCUGCAACUCAAUACGGUGGUCCUCAUAAAGUUCUUUCAGAAACAUCUUUUGGGUGCUCCAAAAGUCAGACCCAUAGGCUAAUACACACAAAAAUUGAAGUAUUUGCGUGAUUUCAGAAAAGGCAUGUAUAUGCAAAAAUGGGAGAAGAAAAUGGUGUGAAUAUAUAUACGUGAUGGUUCCCAACUCCAUACGGAGAUCCAUAUAAAGUUUUUUGAGAAAAUAAUUUUUGGUGCUCCGAAUAUAUCGUCUGUAUGGUUGCUACGGAGCAUCUGAUUUGUAUAGAUCGACAUAUCAUUUGUAUUAAAGCGCAAUGAUUGUAUAUAUAUAACUAUAACAGAGGAGGAGGAGGGACUAGGGAAGAGGAGGAGGAGGAGGAGGAAGUUGUCUCAAUGUAUUUGAUAAAAUAGUUUUUGUGAUAAGAGGCGGACCCACCCUUUUAGGUAGGGUGCACGUGCACUUGUUAAUUUCGGUAAAUAAAAUCAUGAGUUUGUGAGUGUAUGUGUGUGUAUUGAUAUAUAUUGAAAAAUUGAGAGAAAUUAGAAUAUAAUUAACGUACUCAUCAUAAAAAGCAUAAGUAUAUAUGUUAUUGUGCUGCCGGUACAAGCUAAAGUAUGCACAUGCAAGACUUGAAUUUGAAUCUAGCUAGAGUGUUGUUUCACUUUUUUUUAUGUUAAGCUUAUCAUAGAGGCUAAAGCUUAUAUUUGAGCUAAGGUAAUAUUGGUGCACCAACUUCAAAUUCCGAUUCGCCUUUUGCAGCAUUAGUUAUUUUUAGCCAAUACGAUAACUAAAAUGGAUCGGAGGGAAUAUCAUGAUUUGAAUAAAGGAUCUAACCAGAGUCAAAUUUAAAAUAUAUUGAUGAAAUUUCUAAAAUUCCAACGUUAUAUCAUCCUUUUCUUAAGAAUUACCAAAUCAUAAUUAGAGUUGAGAAAAAUUUAAAGCAGAAAAUAACAUGUAUUACUAUAUGAAGAUUGGGUUGUAACAUAAGCAACCACCAAUGUUCAUUACAAGACUCGACAAUAUAUAAGUACUCCAAAUUACAAAAGAAAAGAGACAACAUAUAUAUAUAUAUAUAUAUAUAUAUAUAUAUAAUGAUGGAUCAAACUCGAUAGAUAAAUCCAUCUUAUUCUUCAUCUCCACAAGCCAGAUUUAGCUUUCAUCAACCUUACUGGACCCUGCAAUGCAAUAUUAAAUCAACAUUAAAUAUAUAGUAUGCGCGUACACACAUAUAUAUAUCGUUUUGUAACAUAUAAGUUUAAUCAAUAGUCAGACAUAUAUAAAUUACAAAUAAAAGAGAUAUUAUACUGUCAAUUGAAUAAGUAUAAUCACCGUACGUUGAGCAAUCAGUGGAAGGGCUGAUCUUGUAAGGAAUGUUGACUCCACAAACUCCAGGGAGCCCAGCGGCUUUUCCUGUAUCAAUGCCCUUAAUAGAAUUAGCUGCCGAUUUAAGGCAAGUGCACGCUGUCUUCCGGUCUUCUGGGGUCUUGGCUGCGCCCAAUAGACCCUUAACACCACCACAACACCCUCCUAGAGGGCCGCGACCCUCGAGAUAAGGGAGACAAGGAGCCAAGCCAGACGUAACCUCGCCGCAGCUCAGUGACUCUGCAUGGGGUGCAACCACCACCAUGCAAAAAACCACAAAGCAUGCAAUUUUUCCAAACAUUUCCAUUCUUAUAAAAAAAUUGAGUAAAGAUUAUAGAUAUAGUAGUACAAUUGUAUUUGUUUUGUGUGUUAGGUGUAAAAGCUAGUGAGUAUUUAUAGAGAGGAAAUUAGUGGAAUUAAAAAUGAGAGAAUUAGUUGGGAGUUAAGAGUUAAAUGAAAUGAGUAUAAAGUCAAAUUUCGUUUGUUACGUGACUAAUUUUUAUUGAACCACGCUAUACACGAUUUAAGGCCCAAUCCACAAAUUGUCCCAAUACUACUUUUCCUGUUACAGUGACGAAGUCAGAAAAUUUAAUUUAUCGUAAUCUUUUUCUUAAAAUAAUGUGUGUUCGAUGGCUCUACUCAUGCUUUGAAUCAUUUUAUUUUUUAUUCUUUAUGGUAUAAAGUAAAUGUUUUUUUUUUAGAAAAAAAAAAAAUACAAGGAGAAGAGUGGUUAUUAAAUAAAGAAGAGUAAUAAAUAAGGAGAAGGGUGGGAUGUAAAAAAGUCAUAAUACAUGAAAUUGAUUAAACAAUGUCUCGAGUACAAACUAAGGAGACAGAGUACCUUACUGUUAGAUGUGGAAAUAUUAUGGUACAUGAGUUAAUUUUGAAACAAAUGACCCAUUAAUUUCUUUUAAAAAUUGGAUUUAAGGUGUAAUGUUUAUUUAUUUAAAUAAAUCAAUUUGCUUUCAUGACUUUUUUUUUUUAAAAAUGAGUUUAAGGUGUAAAGUUUAUUACUUAAUUAUAAAUGAUUAAAUAUUUUUUGUAUGUUCAAUACAAAUGCUUGUUUCCGGUCAAAAAGAUCAUGAAAAAAGUAUACAAAAUAAUUAAACCUAUAGCAAAAUUAUAAUUAUGUGUUAUAGUUAUAAGUUGCAUAAUUUGCUCACCAUAGCGAAUAUGCUAUGGCUAUUUCGCUACAUAUAUAUAUAUAAAAGAAUUUAAGAUAUAUAUAUUUAUAUAUAUAUAUAUAUGUGUGUGUGUGUUAUAGUUAUAAGUUGCAUAAUUUGCUCACCAUAGCGAAUAUGCUAUGGCUAUUUCGCUACAUAUAUAUACAAAAGAAUUUAAGAUAUAUAUAUAUUUAUAUAUAUAUAUAUAAUAAUAUAUAUUUGCAUAAAUUAUUGUCCGUCUCUCGUGGCUGCCUUUCAAUUCAAUUUAUGUGUUUGUAUAUCUGUAUAUAAUUUGAAUUUGUAUACAAUUUAAUCGAAAUAAAAAUGUUGGUAAUCAAUCAAAAAUUGCUCUCUGUUAUACAUUGUAUUUUAUAUAAUCUAUACUUCUAUAAAGCGAGAAAGAGAAAGACAAAAGAGACCUAAGCAUGAGAAUAUUUGGAUUGUAUAAUUAUAAGUGUAUAGAACAAAAAUAUUUGUAUUUGCAUGUGUACAUACAUUUUCUUCCGCUUUGUACAAACAGAAACACAUUCAAAUAUUAUAAUCGUUAAAGUCAAAGUUACAACGGAAAAUGAAACUAACAAGAAAAUCGUAAAACGAUAAUGAACUAGUAAAACAAAGAAACCAUUGAAGAAGAGACUACUAGAAGGGAGAUGAGAAACACAGACUCAAAAAAAGGAAUGAGAGGACUAGACACUUUUCUACAAUAAUUUACGUAAUCCCUAAAUCACGUAUUACUUAUAUUGAAAGUUCGAACCGUUUUAUACCCACUACUCAAUUCGAAUCCCAAAUUAACCUGGUCCUAUAUUUUUAGCCCAAUAACAACUUAUAUGACAUUAAUAUCUAUAUUUGGUUAAACUUGAUUCAUAACAUAUUGCUCCUACCCAUAUUUUUAUUUUGUUGUGAAUUGAUAUUAAUUACUUUAUAAGCUAUUUUUAAAAAGGAAUAUGUUUAUUAUAAAAUGACAUUACAAACUUAAAAUAAUUUGUCAAAAAAAUUUAAAAAUUUGAGGCACACUAGAUGUGUACCGUGUUGUGAUAGAUGGGUUGUGUAGAGAGAGGAGAUUUACGAAAGCACAAAAUUGUUUGAUAACAUACUUUUUAAUUUGCUUUUAUAAUCCUCUUUUUUUAGAAAUAUUUUAUUUUUAGUUUUUAGGUAACAUGUUUAAGGUCAUAAUAAGACUAAAUGUCGUUUUGAUAUAUUUGACAUAACUUCAAUUUAGGAUCACAAGAUUAAAUUAUCUUUUUAAACUUUGUAUCAAGUUAAAUUAGAUUGUUAUUUUUUUGAAAUGAGAGAAAAUGAUCAAAUGACCCCUUAACGACGUAUAACCGGAUUUUCAACUAUACACUUAAAUUUUAUGGGAGUCCUAUCACCCUCUGAACUAUUUAAAAAUGAAAUAAUUAUACCGUUAAAAAGCCAUAACCACCAAAUCUAUGGUGGAAUGUGAGUUUCACCACAUCAUCAAAUUAUUAUUUUUUUAAUUCUUUUCUUAUAUAUUCUUACCUAUCUCUUGAAAUACUGAAGAUAUUUUCACCAUUUUCACCAUUACUAGAACACCACGAGUCCAUUAAAAUUGGGUCUUUAAGGAAUAAUAAUAAUUUCAGAGCUCGUUCAAAGAUAUUUGGAUUUUGCUCAUUUGAAACCUAAAAAUCAAAUUAGAAAAAGUUGAAGGGGGAAGAGAAGACGAAUAUGAUGGAAUAUUGCCAUUAAUGGUGGUCACCGAAGAUAAGAAAUCCUCUCAAGAAAGAUGAGGAAGAGGAGCCUACCAUGUCUUCCACAUUGUCAUCUAUAGCGACGACAAUUUCAAAAAAGAAGACACCGAUUAUACGACAAUUGAUGGACUAACUAGAUUAAUAGCUAGAAUUUUUGAGAUAUAGUUGAUUAAUUGAGAUUUGAUAUUAGUAAUUAAAGGAUAUAUUAGAAAAAAUUAUUUUUUUCUGGUUGGCCCAAUCAGAUUCAAAGUAAACUCAUAUUAAUUUUUCUCAAAUCAGAUCCAAAGCAUCUUGGGGUGAUAUAAAUAUAUGUCAUCAAUUGAUUUAGGUUGAUUGAUUUUGCAAGAGCUUUAUAAAUGUUUGAAAAUUUGUUUGGAGUCGACGAAAGUGAAGAUGGUGGCUGUAAGACUUAGGUGAUUGAGAGAUUUGUUUAUAUUGAUGGACAAGAAAGAAAACAAACAAAUAAUUAAAAAUGCAUAUAUUUGUUGAAAAAAGAUAUUCCAUCUGUUUCACAAAAAAUGAUUUGGUUUGACUUGACAUGAAGUUUAAGUAAAUAAAGAAGACUUUUGAAUCUUGUGGUCGUAAAUCAAAGUUAUGUCAAAUGUACAAAAUUAUCUUUUAAUUUUAUGGUCUUAAAUAUGGCACGUGGAAAGCUAAAGUUAAAAUGUUAGAGGUCAUUCUUUUGGAAAUAAACUAAAAUGGAAAGAAUGUCACUCUUUUUUAAAUAAAAAAGAGUUUAACUACUAUCCACCGACGGUGGACAAAAAAUUACACGGGCAUAUUAUUUUUGGAAAUAUUUAAUUUUUUAAUUAAUAUAUUUUAAUAUUAUAAUAUUAAAAUAAAAAUAAUAACAGAGUGUUAUAUGGUAACUUGAAUUAUAAAUUAAUUGUACAAAUUUAAUUAGGAUUCUUAUUUGUCUUACCAAAACAAAAAAUACAUAAUUUCUUGUGUUUUCUUAUUGGAAAGCACUUCAAUCCUUCAAAGAAAAUCAUUGCCAACAUAUUUUUUUUUAUAAGAACCGGUACUUGUUGCCAUUGAAGCAAUGCUAGCAAAAUAUUAAUAAGAAACUAUUCCAGAAACAUAAAGUGCAACAAAAUCAACAUAUUCAAACUUAUAAGAGUAAGCAAAACAAAAUCAAACACUAUUAAAUACGGCCCAUGAUUUAAUCACAAUUGCAUGCUUGGUUACAUUUUUUUAAACGAAAUCCUUCUUUUGAACAAACAAACUCUUGACCAAUAAUGGAUUUAUCUUUUCUUGAUCUACUAAUUCGAUUUUUGCGCACACUAAAACCAUUACGAUGAGCAUAAUCAAGAUAAAAUUUAAAUCUAGUAUCAAGUGAUUGAAAUUCCAUACCGAUGUAAGACUCUCUUAAUUCUUGCUCACCUAGUUGAGGAACAAAAGAUACAACUGCAUUCAUGUUGCUUUCUAUAUCCUCCAAGGAAUCUUCAAUUCCUUCUGCAUUUUGCUCUUCUAAAUUAGAGAUUUCAAAAGUUUCCUGCAAUACACAAUUAUUAGAUAUUAGACUAAUAGGGUAAGUUAGCUUUAAAAUUUUAAAUAUUUUUCAUGGCUAAUGUAUUGAACUUCUUCAAUUUGCUAAAAAGUUCUUAAACGUAUUCUUUAAAUAUCUUCAUCACUACAAAACAUAAAUUUCUUCAUACAUUAAAACAAGAAUAUUUCUUUGAAACGUUUAUUCAUGUUGCGAAAAAGAUUUAAUAAGUUAUGUAAAAAAAGAUAUACGAGGAAAACGCUACCAUGAUAAUUGUUUCAAAUUGCUUCAAUGGUGGAUAGUUGGUUGCUUCAAUGGUUUAUGUAGAAAAAGAAGAACGUUAAUCCAACUAAGAAAACACAAGAAAUUAUGUAUUUUUUAUUUUUGGUAAGACAAAUAAGAAUCCUAAUUAAAUUUGUACAAUUAAUUUAUAAUUCAAGUUACCAUAUAACACUAUGUUAUUAUUUUUAUUUUAAUAUUAAUAAUAUUAAAAUAUAUUAAUUAAAAAAAUUAAAUAUUUCCAAAAAUAAAAUGUCCGUGUAAUUUUUUGUCCACCGUCGGUGGAUAGCAGUUAAACUCUAAAGAUCAAAUAAAGUUUUAAUAACAGAUUUUGGUGCUCACUCUCCAGAGAGAGUCAAAUACAUUUAGGGAACUAAUUAUUUCAAUUUUGAAUAGUACAAGGGAUGAUUAGACCCCCGUGAAAUUUAAUUGUAUAGCGUUGAGGGCAUUUAAUCAUUUUCUCUUUGAAACAGAGAAUAUAUAUCAUUACGGAUCUAAUCUCCAAAAGAUGAAGAGUGAGUAAACCCUGAAUAAUUUGCGACAUUUAAUACGUUGUUUACUUUAAUUAAUGGACUUAUAAUAAUAAGUUGGAAAGGACCGAAAAAGUUUAAUAUAUAUUGCAUGGUGAAUUUGUACCUUCAUGAAUUUAUUUAAAAGUAUACUUUUUAUAGGCAUUUGUGAUGGUGAUGAUGUUAUAAGUAUAUUUCUCAAUAAUUAGCAUUAUACGUGUAAGAAGUGGUUAGAAAAAGGAGGUACCUAGAUGAAUGAGCACACAAUAGCGUAUACUAUAUUACUCGAAUUUGAUAUAUAUGUGUAAUGCAUAUUAAAAGAACCCUAGUAAAAGUAGACCAAAAAUAUUGAAUAGACGAGAGAGUACAUAUACCAAAUAAGAUAGAUGUGUAUUAUCAAAGAUUAGAUUAAUACAACAUAGCCAAUCGUGAAAUUUCGAUACAAGACUCGACUACACACGAUUUUAAAAGAAACACAGGAAAACAGAAAGUAACAACUGAUAUAAUAUAAUCAAUCGUCAAAUUUCGAAACAAGACUCGAGUACAUACGAUUUUAAACGAAACACAGAAAAAAGAGAAAGUGACAACUGAUACAACAUAGAAAGAAAGGAUCCAUAAGCAAGAUCAAUGCUAUCUAUCUUAUUCUUAAUUCUCCUCAUGAAACCAAAUUCUGAUGAUCAGCUUUACUGAACUCUGCAUUGAUAAUGAACAAAACCAACAUUAAUAAUAAUAAUGAUGAUAACAAAAACAUAAUGUACUAACUAUAAUAGUAUUUUUUUUAUUAUAUAAUUACAUAUAUAAAUAUUUUGAAACUAAUAUUUCUUAACAGUAAAAUAUAAAUAAAAAAUGCACUUAUUUUUUGAGAAAACCAAACACACUUGUAGGUGCUAGCACAUAUCAUUUUUUUGUUACUUUAUUUUUCAUACUACGAAGAGUUAGGUGUUGUUAUAGGUAAAAAAAGAUGAAAAAUUUAACAUACUUAGAGCAGUCAGUAGAGGGGCUGAUCUUGUAAGGGAUGUUGACACUACAAGUGUUAGGGAGAGCAGCAGCUUUGCCCAAAUUGAGUCCUGUAAAAGAAGAAGCAGCUGAUUUUAGGCAAGUGCAUGCGGCCUGUCGGUCUACUGUAGUCUUGGCUUGACCCAAAAGACCCUUAACACCAUCACAACAGUUUCUGAGAGGACCGCGGUUCAUUAGAUAAGGGAGACAAGGAGCCAAGGUAGAUGUAACUUGACCACAAGUUAAAGCCUCUGCAUGGGGUGCAACCACUACCAUGCAUAAAAGCACAAAGCAUGCAAUCUUGUUAACCAUUUCCAUUCUUAAUGAUUUAUGAAAAUUAGAAUAGUAAUUAUGAGGUUUAUGAGGAAGUAGUGGAUGAGAAGAAAUGUGUUUUGGUUGAGUGUUUUUAUAGAGGGAAAUUUGGAGUAGAUGGCCAAUGGAGGAGUGAGAGAGGUAGUUGGUUGUUAGGUUGAAAAUUUAAAGCAUUUUUAUGGUUGUACAUUAUUUUGCUGGCUCUAAAGUCAUGUGGUAGCUAGUUCUAACAUCUUACGUGUAGGAGUUUUUUUUUCUCACCAAAGUUCCCAUAAAUAGAUUCCUCGAUCAAUGUAGGACUUUUACCUACUUUAAUAUCCCUUUUUUUACGUAGAUCCAAUUGAGAUGUGGAUCGAAAAUUCAAACAGGAAUGAAUAUAACUCUAAUAUCAUGUUAAGAUAUGUUUUUAGAUCUAAUUUAAUAAUAAAUGCUAGCUUAUGAGAGGAGUAUUGUCCACAUCCUUAUAAGUAAAUCAUCAGUUUAUUUCCUGAUUAACGUGAGACUUUUACCUACUCUAACAGUUUGAUCGAAGAUUUUUUUUAAAAAAAAAUUAUGAAGUUAUAGAGUUAAAGAUGAAAUUGUAUUGGAUAAUACUUUUACGAAAGAAUAAAAAUGAUGUGAUUAUAGCUUUAAAAAUAAAAAAAAUAAUUAAGAUUUUAAAUACAACUUCAAGUUAAAUAUUUUACGACCAUAAAUUUAAAUUUGGGAAGUGACGAAGUUUAUUUUACUUCUGGCGUUCUUAGCUGGAUUACAACAACGUUUAAUUAAUCAAGGUCUUCAUUAGUGUUUAGACACUUAACCACCCAAGUCUUUAAUGCUUUUUCUACUUACCAGCUUUAUCUCUUAAAAAUUGAUACAAAAUGACUACGUAUUAUAUUUUAUAAAGUUGAAAAUGUGUUCCAUUUUCUUUUUCAAAAUUAUCCUUAACACGUUCCUUAUUAAAUGUAUACAUUUAGAAAUAAUCAUAUCAAUACACGAUCAAUAGUUAUAACGUAUACUUGUUUCUUAGUAUUUCUUAACCCUUUAAUCACCAAAGAUGACGGUGGUUUUAUAAAUAGGCAUUUCAUUAAUAUAGAUUUUGAGUUUAAAUCAUAUUAAUUAUAAAGUCAUAUUAGUCAUUUUUUUAUGGUACCAACACUACAAUUAAUUACCGCUACAAUAUGCAUUUUUAGCGGGAAUUUAACACUCUUUAUAUAUGUUUCUAAAGUCUUUAGCGACAUUGAUUUUAACGACAUUUAACUAAUGCAGGUAAAGACUUUAACACUCUUUGUUAAUGUCAGCAUUUAUUACCGUCAAAAGCUGUUUUUGUGGUAGUGCAAUUUAGGAUAAAAAGUCUUACAUCGAUCAAAUACAUGAAAGAUACUUUUCGUUUUUUAAGAGUCAAACAAUUUAAGUUUGACUAGUAAUUUACACACGGAAUUUUCUUUUUAUUGAAAUGAAAUGUAUAUAUAUACUUAUAAACUACGUAAAAGUAUUAUAAGUCAUAAUUCAAAAUAUUUUUAAAAUGUAUAAAAAAUUUACGAUUAAAAUAGAUUUGUUUGAAUCUCGAUAUUCAAAAAGUGUCACAUAAAAUGAGACGAAUGGAAUAUAUAUAUAAUACGUUAGUGAUGCGUUAUAAAAUUAUAUGGGCUUAAAUCUAAAAUGGACAAUAUUACUAAUGACUUGAACCUUUAAAAAUGAUAUCUGUUCAACUCAUGUGUCAUCUUUAUUGAUAUAUAUGGACCAAAGCUCUACAUAUAGGCAAAAUCUCAUGUGGUGGAGUAAACCACUGCGUCUAUAUAAGAGGAGGUGCAUGUGAAACCCCAGAUAAAAAGUGUAACAUCAACAAAAUCAAUUGAUGAAAACAUAAAUUAUAUAAAUAAGCAAAUUUUACAUUUUAAUGACAUAUUUUAAAAUCGCGCAGACCUAGAUUUAACUAGAUUCAGGUAGGAAAAAAGAAACAGAACCUGACACUUUGACGUUUCUUAUAUGUUGCACAAAGUGUUGAUUGCUAAUUGGACCACGAAUUCAGCUAUAUUAUUACAUGCUUUCUCUUGGUCCAUGUAGUAUAAAUUUGUGUCGGUCCCAAUAUUAAUUUGGUAGAAGUUGAGUAAAGAUUUGAGCCACCCAAACUCAUUAAUUAGGCCAAACAAGAGGAAAUUUCUUUGAGACAUAUAGUCUUACCUAGAGGCCUAUAAUUUGGUGUAUAAUGUGGGGAUAUGUUUCACAUGUAUGAGUAUUAUAAAGUUUAUAUAAGUUUUAUAUAAAUGAUUUUCUUUAAGAUAAUAAAAUAAUAUUUACUGACCUUUCCAGAUUGGAUUAUUUUUUGACCUAUAAUUUUAGGUUGAUUUUCUCUGAGUUGUUUCAUAUAUCAAUUUUGACUAUUUGUUUAAAUAGUGUAUUAAUAAUACGAGGUUGUGUAUUGAUUGGUGUGGUUCGAUUUGAGAAUUUAUCAGUUUUAUUUAUUGAUUAUUGGUUUGUAAUCAUAUUUUAACCGUUAUUGAACAGUUAAAAUAUUAAUUUAUCGAUUAUUGGAUUAUUAGUUAGUGAUCGCUAUCGAUUUGAUUAUUGGAUUAACAGUUCAAACAAUUCCCAUUGAGAAUUACUAAUGGACUAAUCACUCAUUACAAUACGCAGUAGUCAGUAGUCACUAUGAACUUUCCCCGGUUAGUCUAUCUACAUAAAAUACUUAAUGAAACUCCAUAUUAAUUCAAAUAGAGAUGUCAAUAUUGCCCAAACUAGCAAAUUCAAAAGGAUUUCUCAUAACAACCAAGCCAAUUUUGAUAUGAACUAUAAAGAGAAACCAUUACGACACUGCUAACAAAAAUCAUUAAUGAUCAUGAGACUUACUAAUAAAAGCUUUUUCGUUUGCAAAUUCUAGCAUAGGGCGAUAUACAGACAUAUCUCAUUGACUCACUCACUGUAACUAGAAGAUAAAAACAAACACUUAAAGUAAGGGAACCAACCAUCUUAACCUCAAUUUUAGACACUUAGAAAAUGCUAUUCAGUAUAACUUUUUGGCGUGGGAGCAGUGACAGUGAAUUAAUGAGUGAUGUCGCAACUCUAAAAAUUCCUAAGGCCUUAAGUGAUAUAAAUGUAAGAUACUAAACUUGUUAUUAGGUUAUCACGACACUCAAUUAGAAAUAUGGCUAAACCGAAAUCCAAAUCGGUAAGACGAUGAAAAGUUUAUAAUAAAUUGAGAUUCGAACCGUUAAAUUAUUAAUCUGAAUCUUUGACCCAAUAAUAAAAUAUCAAUCUCGAUUUGAUUUGAUCAGCUCUAUGGUGAUAUUUCAAAUAAAAAUCAUGAAGUUAAAUUAAAAAUUGUUGUUUUUUAAGUUGCCACCUAAUGCAUGGAAGAACUUGAUUAAAAAAGUGUCACGACCCAAAUCCGGGCCGCGACUGGCACCACACUUACCCUCCUAUGUGAGCGAACCAACCAAUCUAACCUUAACAUUUCAAUAUAAUAUCAACAGAAAGUAAUGCGGAAGACUUAAACUCAUUAAAUAAAGACCAAUUCAUUAACUUCUAAAAUUCAACAUCUAUUAUUCCCCAAAAUCUGGAAGUCAUCAUCACAAGAACAUCUACGAUCAAACGACUAAACUAAGAGUAUUCUAAAAGCUAAAAAUACAUAAGAAGCUAGUCCAUGCAGGAAGUUCAAGGCAUCAAGACUUGAAGAAGAAGAUCCAGUCCAAGCUAGAAGCAUUAGCUCACCCUGAAUUUCCGAUGUAGCAAGACUGACUUGAAUUACUGUUGAGUUGAAGACGAUGGCACGUUUGCUGCACUCCACAAAUAAACAAGAAGAGAACAUAAAAGUAGGGGUCAGUACAAAACACGGGUACUGAGUAGAUAUCAUCGGCCAACUCAAAAUAGAAAUCAAUAUAUACCAAGUAAUAUCAUAAAAUCAACUAUGAUACUCAACAUGUAGCAACAACAAAUACUAUAUCGUUAACAAUUACCGUCAAGUUCACACAUGAGGACUCAAGCCUCGAUACCAUACUCAUUUGGGAAUCAUGUUCAUUAGAUUGAGUAUAUUAACAUCUUUCAAGAUUCAUUAUCUUUAUUUCUCUUGUGUCGGUACGUGACACUCCGCUCCCUCAAUAUUCAUUAAUCCUCUUGUGUCGGUACGUGACACUCCGAUCCCCUAAAUCUAUGUGUCGGUUCGUGACACCCGAUCCCCUAAAUCUAUGUGUCGGUUCGUGACACCCGAUCCCCUAAAUCUACGUGUCGGUUCGUGACACCCGAUCCCCUAAUACUACGUGUCGGUUCAUGACACCCGAUCCCCUAAAUCUAUGUGUCGGUUCGUGACACCCGAUCCCCUAAUUCUACGUGUCGGUUCGUGACACCCGAUCCCCUAAUACUACGUGUCGGUUCGUGACACCCGAUCCCCUAAUUCUACGUGUCAGUUCGUGACACCCGAUCCCCUAAUUCUACGUGUCGGUUCGUGACACCCGAUCCCCUAAUCUCCUUCCAUCAAUUCAUCAAGCCUUCUUUCUUACCAAGGCAUCAUCAAUCUCAUUACUUUAGUUCAUCAAGCCUUCUCCCUUACCAAGGCAUCAUCAUUAAAAAGAGAUUAGGUUUUUUUCAAGAUUUGGGAUUCAAUAACUUCAUCAUGCUUAAUAUAAUCACAAUUAUAUAAUCACGUUCAUGCAGGCAUACAAUUAAGCACAUAGCAGGGUUUACAAUACUACCAAUACAUAUCAUUCUCUAUUAAGAUUUUACUAUGAAAGCAUGAAAACCAUAACCUACCUCCACCGAAGAUUAGAAAUCAAGCAAGCAAAUUCCCAAAGCUUUGUGUCCUCUUCGUCUCUCCUCUUUCUCGUUCAACUUUCUCUCUCUUUCUCUUGUUCUUUCUAUUUUCUUUAUUCAAACCCUCUUUCUUUUACCCUAAUUAGUAUAUGAUUAAGGAUAAAAGAUGGCAAUAAUGCCCCACUAAUUAACUUAAGGUUACCUCUUUUAACCCCCAAGUAAUUAGACUUAUUAACAUUAACCCACUAACUUUAUAAUUAAGGCAAGAAUAGUCAAAAACGUCCCUUAAAACGUAUCAAGAAAUCCGACCCGGACUGGGAUUGCGCAACCUGUGACGGGCCAUCGUGCCUGCGACGGUCCGUCCUGCAGCUCGUCGCAAAGUUCAGAGACCCAAAUUUCCACCAAGGGCCUGUGACGGUCCGUCACACCUGUGACGGUCCGUCACACCUGUGACGGUCCGUCCUGGCAUUUCGUUACAAAGUUCAGAGAGUCAAUUUCAGCACCCAAAUUUCAGAAUUUCUAAGUGUUUUGGGACGAGACACCCUCGACGGUCCGUCGUGCCCAUGACGUUCCGUCGUGGGUUCCGUCGUCUCAGCCUGUUUUUCCAGAAAUAAAAUCUGCUGCUCAAAACGACUAAACAGGUCAUUACAAUAGAUACCAAUUUACCCAUCGUUCGUCCCCAAACGAUCACAAGAAGGAAAAACAAGAACGAAAAGGAGUACCUGAAUCUGUAAACAGAUGUGGGUAUCUUUCUUGCAUAUCUGCCUCCUUCUCCCAAGUGGCUUCUUCAACCGGUCGAUUCUUCCAUUGCACCUUGAUGGAUGCAAUCUCUCUUGACCUCAACUUGCGAACUUCUCUAUCUAAAAUAGCAACAGGCUCCUCCUCAUAAGACAAGUUCUCAUCAAGCAAAACUGAAUUCCAACGGAUAAUGUAAUUUCCAUCCCCAUGAUAUCUUUUCAACAUAGACACAUGGAAUACCGGAUGCACUCCGGACAGCCCUGGAGGCAAGGCUAACUCAUAAGCCACCUCCCCUACUCGCUUAAGUACUUCAAAUGGACCAAUAUACCUUGGGCUAAGUUUACCUCGCUUACCAAAUCGCAUCACCCCUUUCAUUGGUGAAACCUUCAACAAGACUUGUUCACCUUCCAUGAACUCUAAGUCUCUAACCUUUCGAUCUGCAUAUUCUUUUUGUCUACUUUGCGCCGCUAGAAGCUUUUCUUGAAUAGACUUCACUUUCUCUAUCGAAUCCCUCAAAAGGUCAGUGCCCCAAGGUCUAACCUCGAAUGCAUCAAACCAACCAAUGGGAGACCUACAUCUCCUCCCAUACAAUGCUUCAAAUGGGGCCAUAUCAAUACUUGAGUGAUAGCUAUUAUUGUAUGAAAACUCCGCUAAGGGUAGGAAACUAUCCCAAUGGCCACCAAACUCUAUCACACAUGCACGAAGCAUAUCCUCCAACACUUGAAUCGUCCUUUCAGACUGACCAUCGGUCUGAGGAUGGAACGCAGUACUAAGGUCCAACCUAGUACCCAAUUCCGCAUGCAAUGUUUUCCAAAACUUAGAAGUAAACUGCGUACCUCUAUCUGAUAUGAUGGAUAGUGGAACCCCAUGCAAUCGAACGAUUUCUGAGAUAUAGAUCUUGGCUAACUUCUCUGCAUUGUAAGUCACCUUUACCGGAAUGAAAUGAGCAGAUUUAGUUAACCUAUCAACAAUCACCCAAAUGGAGUCAUACUUACCCAUUGUCCUUGGAAGACCAACCACAAAGUCCAUUGCAAUUCUUUCCCACUUCCAUUUCGGAAUGGGCAUUCUCUGAAGUGUUCCUCCGGGCCUUUGGUGUUCAUACUUUACUUGUUGACAGUUUGGACACUUGGCAAUAAAGUCAACAAUAUCACGCUUCAUUCUACUCCACCAAAAGUGUUGUUUUAGGUCACGAUACAUCUUGGUUGCACCCGGAUGUAUAGAAUACCUUGAACUAUGAGCCUCUGUCAAAAUAGUGUUGAUCAAAUCAUCGACGCGGGGUACACAUACCCUUCCCUUGAUUCUCAAAACACCUUCCUCAUCGAUUUGUGCUUCCUUAGCCUCCCCUCGCAAUACUUUAUCUUGGAUUCGCCUUAGUUUCUCAUCAUCAAACUGUUUUCCCUUAAUUUUGUCAAGAAAAGAAGAUCUUGACUCCACACUAGCCAACAAUCUUCCCUUCUCAUUUACUUCUAAUCUCAUCAAGUCAUUAGCUAGAGUCUGAACCUCUCUAGCCAAUGGGCGUCUAGAAGCUUGCAAGUGAGCUAGACUUCCCAUGCUUCCCACCUUUCUACUUAAAGCAUCCGCUACAACAUUCGCCUUCCCCGGAUGAUACAAAAUAGUGAUGUCGUAGUCCUUCAGUAGUUCCAUCCAUCUCCUCUGUCUAAAGUUCAAAUCUUUCUGAGUAAAGACAUACUGUAGGCUACGAUGAUCCGUAUAGAUCUCACACUUAACCCCAUAUAAAUAGUGUCUCCAUUGCUUUAAUGCAAACACCACCGCAGCCAAUUCCAAAUCGUGGUUCGGAUAGUUACGUUCAUGCACCUUUAGUUGCCUUGAAGCAUAAGCAAUCACACUCUUCUCUUGCAUUAGUACUGCACCCAAACCAGAAUAGGAUGCAUCACAAUAAACAAUGAAGUUCUUACCCUCUACUGGCAAGGUAAGGAUAGGUGCGGUAGUCAACAAAGUCUUGAGCUUCUGAAAGCUUUCCUCACAUUCGUCCGACCAUACAAAUGGAACAUUCUGCUUAGUCAAGUUCAUCAAUUGGGAAGCAAUAGAAGAGAAUCCCUUGACAAAUCGGUAGUAGUAGCUAGCUAACCCAACAAAGCUCCUUAUUUCUAACACAUUAGUAGGUCUUACCCAAUUUUUCACUGUCUCAAUCUUAGAAGGAUCCACCAUCACUCCAUCCUUAGAAACCACGUGCCCCAAGAAGGACACUGCAUCUAGCCAAAACUCACACUUAGAGAACUUGGCAUAAAGCUUUUUCUCCCUCAACAUUUCCAAUACCAUUCUCAAAUGCUCUUCAUGUUCCUUCUUGCUCUUUGAGUAUACCAAUAUAUCAUCAAUAAAUACGAUCACGAAGAGGUCCAAAUAUGGCUUAAAAAUCCCGUUCAUCAAGCUCAUGAACGCAGCAGGGGCAUUCGUAAGACCAAAAGACAUCACUACAAAUUCGUAAUGCCCAUACCUCGUUCGAAAAGCAGUCUUUGGCACAUCCAUUGCCCGUAUUUUCAAUUGAUGAUAACCGGAUCUAAAGUCAAUCUUAGAGAAGACACAAGCACCUUGUAACUGAUCGAACAAGUCAUCAAUGCGGGGAAGAGGAUACUUGUUCUUUGUAGUUAACUUGUUUAGUUGUCUAUAGUCUAUACACAUUCGAAAACUCCCAUCCUUCUUCUUUACAAACAAAACUGGAGCACCCCAAGGAGAUGCACUUGGUCUAAUAAAGCCUUUGUUUAACAACUAUUGAAGUUGGGCUUUUAACUCUCUUAACUCCGCGGGAGCCAUUCUAUAAGGGGGUAUCGAAAUGGGGCGAGUACCCGGUUCAAGGUCAAUACAAAAAUCAAUAUCCCUAUCUGGUGGCAUACCAGGAAGAUCUGCAGGGAACACAUCCAGAAACUCACGGACCACCGAAACCGACUCAAUCGAGGGUACUUGGGUAGUGUCAUCCUUGAGAUGUGCCAAGAAAGCUAAACACCCUUUACUAACCAUUUUCUUAGCACGAAGAAAGGAGAUGAUACGCACCGGAUUGGAAGUGUAGUCACCCUCCCACACUAACGGAUCUGUCCCAGGCUUGGCUAACGUCACCGUUUUAGCAUUACAAUCCAAAAUCGCAAAUUGCGGAGAAAGCCAAGUCAUACCCAGAAUUACAUCAAAAUCGUCCAUUUCUAAGAUAACCAAAUCUACAUAAGUGUUUCUCCCCACAAAGUUCACCAAACAAGACCUAUACACCUUUUCAACUACCACAGACUCACCCACCGGAGUAGAAACACGAAUAGGCAUAUCAAGUAAUUCACAAUGUAAAUUUAGACCAUUAGCAAAUGAGGAAGAUACAUAAGAAAAUGUGGAUCCAGGAUCAAACAAUACAAAAGCCAUGCAAUCACAAACCAGAAGAUUACCUGUGAGAUGCCUCCGCUUCAGACCGCCCAGGGAAAGCGUAACAAUGGGCCCUAUCGUUCAUCUGUCCAUUGCCCCUACCAUGUUGUGAUGUAGUGGCUCCAGUUUGCCCAUCACCUCGACCAUUUUGGUGACCACCAUUACCUCGACCACCACGUAUCCAGAAUGACGGCCUCUACCAUGACCACCUCUACCUCUAGCCAUUGGGGGUCUAUAACUCUGUUUUGGACAAUUCCUCCUAAUAUGUCCAGUCUCCCCACAUCCAUAACACUCUCUGGAGUCAAGCAUAGGUCUUUCAGAGAAGUGUUGACCGGUCUGAGGUGGACCCCCAACUACAGUCUGUAGUGAAGACUGAAUGGGUCGAACUGAGUAACCUCCAGAACCUUGUCCUCUAGAGUAAGAACCAUUAAACUCGCCUCCCUUUCGAAACCUUUUUGAUGUCGAUGUCGUGGUGAAGUCAUCUGGCUUCACUCCUUCCACCUCUAUCACGAAGUCUACCACCUCUUGGAAGGAUUUUGCCGUAGCCGCUACCUGUAAGGCUGAAAUCCGCAACUCUGACCUCAACCCCUUCACAAAACGGCGAAUCCGCUCUUGUGGACUGAAACAUAGUUGGGUGGCAUACCGGGAUAAAGCACGAAACUUAGCCUCAUAUGCAUUGACCGACAUCCUACCUUGCUCUAGGCUCAAGAACUCAUCCCUUUUCCUAUCCCUCAAAGUCUAGGGGAUAUACUUCUCCAUAAACAAGCUAGAGAAUGAGGCCCAAGUCAUAGGUGGUGCCUCCAUUGGUUGACACUCAAUAUGUGACCGCCACCACAUUUUGGCAUUCCCUUGAAACUGAUAACUCACGAACUCAACACCAAACCGUUCUACUAUACCCAUCUUGUGUAGUAGCUCAUGACAGUCAACCAGAAAAUCGUAAGCAUCCUCAGAUUCAGCACCCUUGAAGACUGGAGGUUUCAAUUUCAAGAACUUACUGAAAAGUUCAUGCUGAUCAUUUGUCAUUAUAGGCCCAGUAGUCAGACGUGGAAAUGUGCCUAUGUCCAAUGAGGCAUCCAUACGAGGAGCCAUAGUGGCUGCAUGUUGCACUUCUGAAACCGGAGGUGUUGGCGCAGAAAACACUGGAGGUGCCAGACCUUGAUCAGACAACCCACUGUGAUAGGUGAGAACCUGAUUGAUCAUCUCUGGGGUAGGUUGGGGUGGCAAUCCCUCAUUCUGCACUUGUUCAGUUUCCCCAUCCUCCCCUUCUCUUAUUACUUCCUCAGUCAAUGGAGGAGUCACUGCCCUAGUAUCAGAUGGGCUAGGUGCUCGUCCUCUUCCCCUAGAGGACGUCCUCCCACGACCUCUACCACGAUCUCUUGCCGCUGCUCUUCCUCGAGCAACAGCCCCAGUGGCUUGCUCAGACGCACCCUGUCCCGCCGGUGCUAGUGUUGGUGCUGGCGUAGUCGUUGCUCUAGUUCUAACCAUCUGUGAAAGAGAGUGAAGAUGGUCAGAUACCAAUUUGUAUCACCUAGAUACCAAUUGGAUUCAAGUAGUAGCACGAAAGAAAGAAUGAAAUAAUGGAAUUUUCCUAAAGUCUUAUAGCCUCUCAAAGAAAAGUAAAGGCGUCCCCCUACCGUUCCUUAAGACUCUACUAGAAUCGUUCUUGUGUGAUGAGACCAACGAACCUAAUGCUCUGAUACCAAGUUUGUCACGACCCAAAUCCGGGCCGCGACUAGCACCCACACUUACUCUCCUAUGUGAGUGAACCAACCAAUCUAACCUUAACAUUUCAAUAUAAUAUCAACAGAAAGUAAUGCGGAAGACUUAAACUCAUUAAAUAAAGACCAAUUCAUUAACUUCUAAAAUUCAACAUCUAUUAUUCCCCAAAAUCUGGAAGUCAUCAUCACAAGAACAUCUACGAUCAAACGACUAAACUAAGAGUAUUCUAAAAGCUAAAAAUACAUAAGAAGUUAGUCCAUGCCGGAAGUUCAAGGCAUCAAAACUUGAAGAAGAAGAUCCAGUCCAAGCUAGAAGCAUUAGCUCACCCUGAAUUUCCGAUGUAGCAAGACUUGCUUGAAUUACUGUUGAGUUGAAGACGAUGGCACGUUUGCUGCACUCCACAAAUAAACAAGAAGAGAACAUAAAAGUAGGGAUCAGUACAAAACACGGGUACUGAGUAGAUAUCAUCGGCCAACUCAAAAUAGAAAUCAAUAUAUACCAAGUAAUAUCAUAAAAUCAACUAUGAUACUCAACAUGUAGCAACAACAAAUACUAUAUCGUUAACAAUUACCGUCAAGUUCACACAUGAGGACUCAAGCCUCGAUACCAUACUCAUAUGGGAAUCAUGUUCAUUAGAUUGAGUAUAUUAACAUCUUUCAAGAUUCAUUAUCUUUAUUUCUCUUGUGUCGGUACGUGACACUCCGCUCCCUCAAUAUUCAUUAAUCCUCUUGUGUCGGUACGUGACACUCCGAUCCCCUAAAUCUAUGCGUCGGUUCGUGACACCCGAUCCCCUAAAUCUAUGUGUCGGUUUGUGACACCCGAUCCCCUAAAUCUACGUGUCGGUUCGUGACACCCGAUCCCCUAAUACUACGUAUCGGUUCGUGACACCCGAUCCCCUAAAUCUAUGUGUCGGUUCGUGACACCCGAUCCCCUAAUUCUACGUGUCGGUUCGUGACACCCGAUCCCCUAAUACUACGUGUCAAUUCGUGACACCCGAUCCCCUAAUUCUACGUGUCGGUUUGUGACACCCGAUCCCCUAAUUCUACGUGUCGGGUCGUGACACCCGAUCCCCUAAUCUCCUUCCAUCAAUUCAUCAAGCCUUCUUUCUUACUAAGGCAUCAUCAAUCUCAUUACUUUAGUUCAUCAAGCCUUCUCCCUUACCAAGGCAUCAUCAUUAAAAAGAGAUUAGGUUUUUAUCAAGAUUUGGGAUUCAAUAACUUCAUCAUGCUUAAUAUAAUCACGUUCAUGCAGGCAUACAAUUAAGCACAUAGCAGGGUUUACAAUACUACCAAUACAUAUCAUUCUCUAUUAAGAGUUUACUAUGAAAGCAUGAAAACCAUAACCUACCUCCACCGAAGAUUAGAAAUCAAGCAAGCAAAUUCCCAAAGCUUUGUGUCCUCUUCGUCUCUCCUCUUUCUCGUUCAACUUUCUCUCUCUUUCUCUUGUUCUUUCUAUUUUCUUUAUUCAAACCCUCUUUCUUUUACCCUAACUAGUAUAUGAUUAAGGAUAAAAGAUGGCAAUAAUGCCCCACUAAUUAACUUAAGGUUACCUCUUUUAACCCCCAAGUAAUUAGACUUAUUAACAUUAACCCACUAACUUUAUAAUUAAGGCAAGAAUAGUCAAAAAUGUCCCUUAAAACGUAUCAAGAAAUCCGACCCGGACUGGGAUUGCGCAACCUGUGACGGGCCGUCGUGCCUGCGACGGUCCGUCCUGCAGGUCGUCGCAAAGUUAAGAGACCCAAAUUUCCACCAAGGGCCUGUGACGGUCCGUCCUGGCAUUUCGUUACAUAGUUCAGAGAGUCGAUUUCAGCACCCAAAUUUCAGAAUUUCUAAGUGUUUUGGGACGAGACACCCUCGACGGUCCGUCGUGCCCAUGACGUUCCGUCGUGGGUUCCGUCGUCUCAGCCUGUUUUUCCAGAAAUAAAAUCUGCUGCUCAAAACGACUAAACAGGUCGUUACAAAAAGAUCGAACACAGAGAAUUUUAUCACUUUCUUGCUCAAAAAAUAAAAUAAAAUAAAAUAAAUCAUGUACUGUCUAUAGAACUUGCUUCAAAUCUACACAAACUCUAAAAUCUUAACUUUCCUUGUUAAAACUGGCACUGUUAAACUUUAUUGUAUUCUUGAAAACUUUUACAACUCAAUCAACAAACGUUUACCACAAGACUUGUUGCAUAGUAAUUACUUUUUAUUGAAACAUGUAUUUUACUAAAAAAAAUUAUAAAAUUUUGUAAGAAAAAAGUUAUUUGAAUCAGUUUUUCAAAUUAAAAUUGAAAAACUCAGCUUUGAAUUGAAAUGAAAAUUUAACGACAAUAUAUAAAAUCUAAGUACGUGGAUUUUUUACUUUUGAUGUCAUAUUUGCGUCGAAUUCUUCAAAAAUAUACUAUUUUUAGAGAAUCUAAUCAACAACAACUGAUAUUUUCAAAAGUUCGAGCAACAUAAAUAUGUACUAACAAUUUUAUUUCUAAAUGUAAAAAAUAAUUUGUAUGCCCAAUUUGUUGGGAAAAAAUUCGUAACAGAAAUAAUAUUUGCGGUAAUAAAGCCAAGAAAUGCGGAACACAACAAUACGGUUAAUGAACGAGAAUAAAAGAGAAAUAAUGACACCAAGAUUUUACGUGGAAACCUCCUAAAUGAGGGAAAAACCAUGACCCGAGAGGAGCAACGAAUAUCACUAUAAUAAGGAUUUUACACUUGUAUGUCUGAGUAAAACUCCAAAGACCACUACACAUUCAAAAGAAAUAACACUCUUUUGAUUUUUCCACCUCACUACAAUAUCGCUCAGACUCUCUAUUUUUCCUCUGUGAUGCCUCACUCUUCUUUCUCUCCUUUGUAAUUCUUUUUGGUGCAUUUUUGAAAUGAGCAAGGGCUCUGUAUUUAUUGGAAAAUCUAGUCCUAAUGAUGUCACCAGUGAUAUCACAAAAAACACAAGAUUUCAACCUUUUCACCUAUGUAGAAAUCUUGCUAAGAUUUUAGUUGAAAAAAGAAAUGGUGAGCUUUGAAUUUUGUUGCAGCAUUUGUUGACUUUAACAAUAAGCAACAAACAAAAUUCAACCAUUUCUGCUAUGUUUAUCUACAAUGGGUAUGGACUCCACAAAUCUCCCCCUCCAUACCCAUUCACUUGAAGGAGGUAGCUCUAGGUUUCUAGCUUGAGUGCAUGCCGACAAGUUCUUCGCAUAACUCAAACUUGUCCCUUGAUACCACCUUGAUCAGCAUAUCUGAAGGGUUUUCACUAGUAGGGAUCUUCAUGACUUGCAUAGAUCCGUCCUCUAUCUUUUCACGAAUCCAGUGAUAUCUCACGUCAAUAUGCUUCGUCCUUGAAUGGUACAUGGUGUUCUUGCUCAAGUCUAUUGCACUCUGACUGUCACAAUAGAUGACAUACUCCUCCUGAUGUAAUCCAAGUUCUUGAAGAAAUCGUUUCAGCCAUACCAUCUUUUUGCCACCUUCAGUAGCUGCAAUAUAUUCUGCCUCAGUUGUAGAGAGUGUGACACACUUCUGCAACUUUGACUGCCAUGAUAUAGCUCCCCCCUGAAAAUAUAAACAAAUAUCCAGUAGUGGAUUUUCUAUUAUCGAGGUCACCUGCCAUAUCAGCAUUAGUAUAGCCCUUCAAGAUUGGAUCAGAUCCUUUAAAACACAAGCAAUCUCUUGUGGUACCUCUUAGAUACCUGAGUAUCCACUUAACUACCUCUCAGUGUUCUUUUCCAGGAUUUUCAAGGAAUCUGCUAACAACACCAACUGUAUGAGCAAUAUCAGGUCUCGUACACACCAUCACAUACAUCAAGCUCCCCACUGCUGAAGAAUAAGGAACUUUAGCUAUUCCCUCUUUCUCCUCUUUUGUUGUAGGACACAUCUGUUUGCUCAACUUCAGAUGACUCGCAAGAGGCGUGCUAACAGGUUUAGCACUCUUCAUGUUGAAGCGUUCUAGUACACGUUCAAUGUACUUCUCUUGAGAUAGCCACAACUUUCUUUUUAUUCGUUCUCGAACAAUAUUCAUCCCUAGAAUUUGUUGUGCUGGGCCCAAGUCUUUCAUGUCAAAUGACUUGGACAAAUCUUUCUUCAACUUUGCAAUCAGCUCUUUGUCUUGUCCUACAAUUAACAUGUCAUCCACAUAUAACAACAAAAUAAUAAAAUUGUUGUCAGAAAAUCUUUUGAAGUAUACACAUGGAUCAGAAUAGGUCUUUGUGUACGUUUGACUUUUCAUGAAAGAGUCAAACUUUUUGUACCAUUGCCUUGGGGUCUGUUUCAACCCAUAAAGACUCUUAUUCAAUUUGCACACCAUGUGUUUCUUUCCAGAUGCUUCAAAUCCCUCUGUUUGCUCCAUAUAAAUCUCUUCUUCCAAAUCUCUGUGAAAAAAUGCAGUUUUCACGUCCAAUUGCUCCACUUCAAGAUCUAGACUAGCUGCUAUGCUCAAAAUAGUUCGAAUAGAAGUCAUUUUGACAACAUGUGAAAAAAUUUCAUCAAAAUCAAUACCUUUCGUUUGUUCAAAGCCUUUUACAACCAAUCGAGCUUUGUACCUCACCAACUUGCCAUUUCCAUCUUUCUUGAGUUUAAAGACCCACUUGCACUUAAGUGGUCUUUUUCCUUUUGGAAGUUCAACUAGCUGGUAUGUGCCAUUUUUCUGUAGAGAUCCCAUCUCUUCGUGCAUGGCUUUCAUCCAUUGGCUCUUUUCUGGAUGAGACAACACCUCCUUAAGACUUUCUGGCUCACCUUCAUCAUUGAUAAGGACAUACUCUGAGGAAGGAUAUUUGGUUGAUUAUACUCUUUGUCUUUCUGAUCUCCUCAGAGGUUGAGAUUGUCUUCUUCUGGGUACUCCAUUUGCUCGGUAUUAUCACCAAGUUGCUCCCCCUGCUCAACAAACUCAUCAGGUUGCUCUUUAUGCUCAGCAACUUCAUCAAUCGUACUUUCUGCACUUAUGGGAUGGUUAGAAGAAGAAGGAAUGGUAAUAAGAUUAGGGACUAUACCAUUCUUUUUCUUGGCCUUCUCGGAUAGAUCAUCAGCAGUUUCAACUUCACUUUCUCGAAAGAUUACAUCUCUACUUCUGAUGACCUUCUUCUUUACAAGAUCCCAUAGUUUGUACCCGAAUUCUUCAUCUCCAUAUCCGAUGAAUAUGCAGGGAACUGAUUUAUCAUCUAGCUUGGUUCUUUGCUCUUUCGGUACAUGUGCAAAAGCUUUGCAACCGAACACCUUUAGGUGCGAGUAAGACACCUCUUUGUUGGUCCAAACUCUCUCUGGAAUGUCAAACUCCAACGGAACUGAUGCAUUACGAUUGAUAAGAUAACACGCUGUCCGAACUACUUACCUCAAAAUGUCUUGGGUAAUUUAGCCAAUCUGAGCAUGCUUCUCACCUUCUCAACAAUGGUGCGAUUCAUUCUCUCAGCUAUACCAUUGUGUUGUGGGGUUCUAGGAACUGUCUUUUCAUGUCUGACUCCAUGGUUUGAACAAUACUCUUCAAAUUCUCUUGAAGUGUACUCACCUCCAUUGUCGGUUCGGAGACGUUCUAGCUUUCGACCUGUCUCUCUUUCUAUCAGAGCAUGAAACUUUUGAAAUACUGGAAACACCUGAUCUUUGGUUAUCAAGAUAUAAACCCACAAUUUUCGAGAAGCGUCAUCAAUAAAGGUAACAAAGUAUUUAUUACCUCCUAUCAAUUCUAUCUCCAUUGGACCACAAACAUCAAAAUAUACCAAAUCAAAUAUAUUCGACUUUCUUUCAGAUGAUGUCUUAAAUGAGACUCUAUGUUGUUUACCAAAUAAGCAGUAGUUACACGAUUUUAUCGUUGUACCUUUGGCAAAAGAGAUGAGUGACUUUUUGGAAAGAAUUUGCAAUCCUUUCUCGCUCAUAUGACCCAUUCUUUUAUGCCAUAAAUUUGCAAAAUUUUCUUCAUGAGCCGCAUUUAAUUCACCUUGGCAUAUUUCUGCAUUUAUCCUGUAUAAUGUGCCACUAGCAACUCUUUUUGCAAUCACUAAUGCCCUUUUAGUGAGUCUCCAUUUUUUAUUUGCAAAGCAGUUUUCAUAUCCAUCUUGGUCCAAAGCAACUCCCGAGAUCAAGUUCAUCCGCAAAUCAGGUACGUGGCGCACAUCUUUCAACACUAAUGUGCAUCCAACAUUUGUUUUUAAGCAAACGUCUUCGAUCCCCGCAAUCUUUGAGUAACUUGUGUUACCCAUUUUCACAUUUCCAUAAUCACCGGCUACAUAUCUGCAAAAAGGAUCUCUUACCGGUGUGGCAUGAUAAGAUGCUGCUGUGUCGACCACCCAUUCUGAUUCUAUACCUGUCAAGUGCAUGCAUUCUUCUUCCUCAUUUAUGAGGAGAACAACAUCGUCAUUAUUUUGCAGUAUGGCAGCUGUAUUGUCAUCAUUCUUCUGGUCGCUGCUUUCCCCUUUGCCCCUUUUUAGAUUUGGACAAUCUCUUUUGAAGUGCCCUGGUUGACCGCAAUUGUAGCAAUUUCUGGCCUUCGAUUUUGAUCGGACCUUGGACUUUCCACGAGCUUCGGAUCUACCAUAGUUACUUGAGCUCCUUUGGUAACUUCUCCCUCUACUUUCCGUGAUGAGAGUCUGUCCGUGAUUUUCAGGCCUUUUUCUCAUCUUCUCAUUAAGCAAAAGGGCUGAUGUGACAUCCUUCAACUCAAUAGAGCCCUUACAAUGUAAAAUGGUUGUUGCUAAAGUAUCGUAGGAAGAUGGCAACGAGUUUAGGAGCACUAUGACUUUAUCUUCAUCCUCGAUCUUUACUCUGAGGUUUGCUAGCUGUGUGAUUAGUCCAUUAAGUACAUUUAAAUGAGACAAAAAAAUUGUACCUUCACCCAUAUGUAGCGCAUAUAACUGCUUCUUUAGGUACAAUUUAUUUGUCAGCGUUUUGGACAUGUAUAGAUUUUCUAACUUUGUCCAAAUGCCACAUGCACUCUCUUUAUCGAUGAUGUUAUUAACUACAUUAUCUGUUAAGUGCAAUCUGAUUGCACUAGCAGCCUUUUCAUUCAUUUCUUCCCAAUCCUCAAGUUUCAUGGAUUCGGGCUUUUUGGAUUUACCGCCUAGUGCCUUGUGCAAACUCUGUUGGAUGAGUAAGUCUUUCAUCGUUCUCUGCCACGUUGAGAAACCGUUAUCACCGUUGAAUUUUGCUACCUCGUACUUUACUCCAGACAUUUUUUUUAUUGAGUAUAGUACAAUAAGUUGCAAAAAAUAUUUCUGUAAAUGAGCAGAACCUGUGCUCUGAUACCAAUUGUUGGGAAUAAAUUCGUAACAAAAAUAAUAUUUGCGGUAAUAAAGGCAAGAAAUGCGGAACACAACAAUACGGUUAAUCAACGAGAAUAAAAGAGAAAUAAUGACACCAAGAUUUUACGUGAAAACCCUCCUAAAUAAGGGAAAAACCACGACCCGAGAGGAGCAACGAAUAUCACUAUAAUAAGGAUUUUACACUUGUAUGUCUGAGUAAAACUCCAAAGACCACUACACAUUCAAAAGAAAUAACACUCUUUUGAUUUUUCCACCUCAUUACAAUAUCGCUCACACUCUCUAUUUUUCCUCAAAGAUUAUUUUCCUCUGUGAUGCCUCACUCUUCUUUCUCUCCUUUGUAAUUCUUUUUGGUGAAUUUUUGAAAUGAGCAAGGGCUCUGUAUUUAUAGGAAAAUCUACUCCUAAUGAUGUCACCAGUGACAUCACAAAAAACACAAGAUUUCAACCUUUUCACCUAUGUAGAAUUCUUGCUAAGAUUUUAGUUGAAAAAAGAAAUGGUGAGCUUUGCAUUUUGUUGCAGCAUUUGUUGACUUUAACAAUAAGCAACAAACAAAAUUCAACCAUUUCUGCUAUGUUUAUCUACAAUGGGUAUGGACUCCACACAAUUAACGGGUAAACUAAAUUUGAAUUAUGACACAAAAUUUAAGAUUGUGCUCUUUUUAUUUCACUUCUAGGUAUAAAAUUUGGUUUCUACCAUCAACGGGCACUACAACAAAUAUUGACACUAAUAAAGAGUGUUAAACUCAUUAUCGGUAUUAGUUAAGUGUUAUUAGAAUCAAUGUCGCUAAAGGCUUUAGUGACAUAUACAAAGAGUGACAAUUGUCGCUAAAAAUACAAAUUUAGCGGCAAUUAAGAAUUAAAUACCGCUAAUGGUCAUUGUAUGCGUCUAAAGUUUCGUUCCUGAAAAACAACAAACAAGAAAGGAAAACCGCAAACAGGAAAGGAAAAAUAGCAAGCAAAUAAUAAUAUUUGAAUUUGGAUUUUUGCGAAGGUUACAAACUUUAUGAAAUCUUUAAUAAAAGAUGUAAUCCUCUGAUUUUUCUCUUCACGGAUGAUCUUGAUUUGAUGGAAUUCUUGCAUUUUUCUCUUCACAAAUGAUCUUGGUUUGAUGUUUCACGAAUGAUCUUGAUCUGAUGGAAUACUUAUGUUUAUUGUAAUACUUGCAUUUUUCAAUGAUCUUGAUUUGAUGAAAUACUUGCGGAUCUUGUGAUUUGAUAGAAUACUUGCACUUGCAGAUACCACUGAAGAGCAACUAUGUAUUUUUGUAUAUAUGUAUUUGUGUGUUUUUUGGUCAGAAAAAAACCUUAUAUAUAGGUUUAAUUUAGGGCUUUAAGGUAUUUUGGUCUGAACAAUUUUUAUUCCUGGGCCUGAAGAAUAUGAGUUGGGCUCAUCUUGUCAACUUAAUGGACUGACUCAAGUGAUUUGAAUUUGAUUUAAGGCAUACAAUUUUAACUUAGAUACUAAUCCAACUUUAGCAACGAGUAAUUUAACUUGAUCAACGUAUCAUAAUUUAAAAUUUAAUCCAAAUUUAAUAUAGAUUUAUCAAUAAAACUUUAGCUUACAGUUAUUUUUAUUAUAGUGAGGUUCUUUGAAAGAAGUACCUUGCUUGUAGCCAAUUCUAUCUCUUAGCGAGGGCUUGACAGAGUUCUAAUAGGGGAUUCCGAUAUAUCGUAUAGUUGUUUAAUCUUUUUUUUAGGAGCGCUCUUUUCAUCCAACUCUUUAUUGCAUAAAGAAAGAGCUAGAGUAUAAACUAUACAUGCACUUGGUAAUGUAAAUUUCUUUGAAAUGUUUGACGGGGGACCUCUUUCAUUUGGUAGAUAGAUAAAAACACUACUUCUACCUAAUGAGUAUUAUCUUAGUUUUAUAAUACUUUGUCACAUUUUUUUAGAACUAAAUAAUAAAAUAUUUUAUUAAUAUUUAAAAUAUUUUUUUUGUCAGAUUAAUAUGAUGAAAUAAAUUAUAAUAUACAAUAUUUUACAUAUAAUUAUUAAAAAAAUUAAAUUUUAUUUUAAAAUAACGAAUUAAUCGAAUUGAAUAUGGGCCUCUUGGCUUAAAGGCCACUUUAUAAAACUCAAUUUGCUAUUUAGACACAAGUUUGGUUUUAUUGGCAGAAGAGACACCAUUUAUGAUGUCAUCGUUGCAAGUUCAAAAGUUCAUGACAAAAAGGUCCAUACAUUUUUUAAUUAAUUACCAAGAUAGCAUGAUAGAAUUAAUGAGCUUUAGCGGCAAUUGAUUAGUGCUAAAUAUAUAUAUUUUUAGCGGUAAUUAACACUCUUUGUAUAUUUUUUUAAAGGCUUUAGCGAUAUUGAAUCUAAUGAAACGUAACUAAUGUUGAUAAGAUUUUAAACACUCUUUAUUGAUAUGUCUAUUUAUUACCGCUAAAAGUUAUUUUUAUUGUAGUGUAUGCGUCCACUAACAAUUAAGGAAUCAAGUUCUUUGACAACAUAACAAUAUGAAGAAAAAAAAACAAAGUGAAUCAACACAUAUAAGGGAGAAGAAAAUCACGACAUGUCUUCAUAGAAUUUUUAACUCAACUCCAUUUUAUUCAAAACAGAACACAAAUUCAUAUUACAAACUCCAUUCAUUGAGGAAUUAAACUAUUAAUCCCUCCCCCCUCACUAUAAUACUUCUGCUACUCUGAGUAAUAACUCUAUUGUCUACUAAACCAACUAAUUGUAUUUAGACUUCAAGAAUCCAAUAAUGCUUAACUUUAGUCAACUCAGAUCUCAAAGAUAAAAGAAUAAACAAGCAACAACUCUAGUACAUCCACAUAUUGACUAACUCUAGUUGACACUCCUAAGCAAUUCCACCCAAGAGAACAUCAAAUCAAUAAUGAAAAAAGGCUUUACUAUAACAUAGAUGAUUAUACUAAUUAACUCUAGUUAAUUUGACUCAAACUAAAAACUUAGACGCACCAUCAAUUUAGUAUCCUUUAUAAGUGAAGAAUAGAUUUACAAUAUAAAAGCACAAGACAAAAGCUUAAAAUCCAACAAAAGACGUUACAUCAAUUGAGUAUAAGCAGUGUUCUUCUUUGAGGAUUGUUUUUACUUUUGAAUGCAAAAACUACUGUGUGUUGAGAGGACAUUUUAUGGAUUGGACAUAAACUCUUGGCUUCAGGCUGAAAGACGAAUACGGCAGAGGACACGCACUAACCACAACAGAUGUUGCAAAAUUUACAAUUUUAAAUGUCUUUUUCAUGUAAAAACACUUUCAAUCUUUCCUAGGAUCUUGUACCUCAAUAAAUCCUGAAGUAACGUUAAAUCAUUAAAACUUCAAAAUAGUUCCCAAAAACAUCCGCCUAAGUUUUUUGUCUUUUUGUGUUCGUCUGUAUAGUUCCUUUUUUAAGUUAUAUGAAAGUUUGAUACAUAAAUAAUUUAUUUCUUAUUCAGCUAUUAGAUAACUCCUAAAAAUUUUAGUUUGUUUAAGUUUUAAUGAACUGUGUUUUCUUUUUGUUAAAUCUAAAGCUAAAGCCUAAUAUUCGAGGAGUACUAUAUAUCACUCGAAUAUAUACAUGUGCAACACAUAUAUCGAAAAUCUAUUACAAAAUAGGAAAAGAGAAUAGAGAGAAAGGAAAGUAUAUUGAGUACACAAGAAACAUACUAAAAAAGAUAGAUAUAUAUUAUCAAGAUUGGAUUAAAGUAAUACAAUCCAUCGAUAGUGAAGUUUCGAUACAAGACCCCCAAAAGACAAAACGAAAAAAGAAACAAAAAGACAACAAACACAACAUAUAACUAAUGGAUCCAUAAGCAGGAUCACACUCCAUUCAUCUUAUUCUUAUAACUUCUCCUCAAAUGGUUCCAUAUUCUGAUGAUCAACUUUACUGAACCCUGCAUCGAUGAAUAAAACCAAUAUUAACAAAAAAAAAAAAACAUAAUGACUAAAUAAUACUACAUAAAUAUUAAUGUUCUUUUAGAUUACACAUGAAUAUUUUUUUACUUACUUACGAACACACUUUGUAAUUUACUACUACUACUCCAUUUUAUGAUAAUGUGCUAGUACACAUUAUGUUGUAAAUUGUACUCUAUAUGUUAUAUGCAUUCCUAUUUGCAUAGGUCAACAAUAUUAAUGAAAAUAUUAUAAAUUCAUAACAUACGUGGAGCAGUCAGUGGAGGGGCUGAUCUUGUAAGGAAUGUUAACUUUACAAACACUAGGAAUACCAGCAGCUUUGUUCAAAUCAAUUCCCUUUAUAGCAUUAGCAGCUGAUUUCAAGCAAGUGCAUGCUGUCUUUCGAUCCGCGGUAGUCUUGGCUGAACCCAACAGAUUCUUAACACCACCACAACAGCCUCCUAGAGGGCCACGGCCUUGAAGAUAAGGGAGGCAAGGAGCCAAGCCAGCAGUAACUUGACCACAAGUUAAUGCCUCUGCAUGGGGUGCAACCACUACCAUGCACAAAAGAACAAAGCAUGCAAUUUUGCUAACCAUUUCCAUAUUGUUAAUGAUAAUGAAAAAUAGAGAGGAUAAUAUUAUAGUAAAGAGUAUAGUAUGAUGAAAUGUGUUUUGGUUUGAGUGAUGGGUGAAAAAGAUAGUGAGAUCUUUGGGGUUUUAUAGAGGAAAAAAUUUGGACUAGAUGGACAAUAGAGUUAGGUGGAUGUUGGGGUGAAAUUUAAUGCAUUUUAUUAUGGAGAUGCCGCACAUUAGGUUAUAAAGUCAUGAGGUCUAGUAGUAUGGACAUUAUUUAUUAAAAGAUUAUACUUCCUUCGCUUCACAAAAAAUGAUCCAGUUUAAUUUAGUACGUAAUUUAAAAAAUAAAAAAGACUUUUGAUCAUGUAAUUCUAAAUUAAAUUUAUGUAGAAUUUACAAAAUUGCCUUUUAAUCUUGUGGCAUUAAACAUGUCAUGUGGGAAGUUGUUAUCAAAAAAAAAAAGAAAAGGUUAUUCUUUUUUAAAUAGACUAAAAAAAAGAAAGUCAUUCUUUUUUAAAUAGAGAAAACAGUUUCUUUAUUUUAAUUUGCUUGGUCUUUUUUGAUUUGGAUAAAGUUUUAAAAUGUUUAUAAAAAUCUAAGAAACUUCUUAAACAAAUGUGUCGAUGUUAUGUUAGGUAAAAAGUUUGAAAUGAAGAAUUGCUUAAAAAAAAAGAAAGAUCAUUCUUUUCGUUUUAUUUGCUUCUUGUUAAUUUGAGACAUAAAUAUGAUUGCAGUAAAACAAAUAUUAAUCGUAAAAAUGCAGUAGUUUUAUGUGUUCUUAUCUUUUUCACGUAAGGCACUUCAUUUACCUAAUCAUGUCUUCUCUAUUCAAAAAAAUUGGAGUUGAUUACUACAAUUUAAUUAAUUUUAAUUUAUGUCAAUAUCUUAAUUACUAAUUCUAAGCUAAUUACGCUAUAUAUUUUAUUAUGUGUACCAUCCCCUUUAAGCCGAUUGAUCCGUUUGUGUUGAUUACUAAAUGGACUUAGGCACUUCACAUUUGUAUAUCACUAUAUUAAAAAUGAGUUUUAACGGUAAUUAAUUAAUAAUUAUUAUUAAAUAUUUAUUUAUAUUGAUAAUUAACAUUUAAUAUAUGUCAAUAAAAAUUUUAGUAUUCUUUAUUAAUCUGUCGAAUUAUUGUCGUUAAAAAUUAUUUUUGUUAAAGUGUAUGUUAACAUAAAACUGUUGAUUGUUAUGGACCAUCGAUUCAAAUUUGAUCGUGUAUUAUUAUACUUUAUUUACAUAUUUUAAUUGCUUUUAGUUAAUCGCACAUCUUUGUAAAAAUAAAUUAUAUCUUGAUUUAAAUUUAUAGAUAUCAUAUGUAAAAUGAAAUGAAUACCAAAAUUAUGGAGUUAUCUUGUUCUUACACUUGCCAAAAUCUCGUCGAUUGUGGCCUCAGUUCAUGUCGGUUCAAUAAUUGUGCAUCUUUAUUUAUUUGGUAGGAAUUAAGAUUUGACCCAAACCAAACAUAUUAAUUAGGCCAAACAAGAGGAAAUUUCUUGAGGCACAGUCCUAGCUAAAGGCCUAUACUUUGGUAUACUUUAGGGGAUCAUGUUUCUAUAUGCAUAAGUUGAAUAUUUCUGUAUGCAUACGCUAUGGUCUUGUGAAAUUUUGUUAUUACGUUUUUUUAAUAGUAUAAAUUUAAAAUUUCUAUAAUUUUAUUUCUAUUUGUAUAAUUUCAAAAUAUCAUAUUUAUCUUAACUAUUUGUAUACAAUUUUUUUAAAAAAAAUUAAUAAACUAUUACGUUUAUACAUUGACAAAAAAAAAUACAGAUAAUGAGUUCUAAAAUUUUUUAAGUAUAUAACUUGAAUAUACUUAUCAUAUUUAUAAUCUCGCAAGCGAAAUACACAAACUAUAAUUUCAUGACAAACAAAAUUAUAGUUGUAAAACAUAACCUGUAAAUUUUCUCAAGUUCACCAAAUUAUUGAAUUUUGUUUGUCAUAUUAGCCCCAUUCAUUUUCUCCUACAAUGUCUAGGAGUGCGUGCCCAUAUCGACAAAACAGUCCCACGUGAAUAUCGAUAAGCCAUUUUGAAAUUACUCCAAUAACCAUAUCUCUCUGUAUCAAUGUGAAUAUGUGAUCCACAUUGUGUACAUUCUCGAAAGGAUGAAUGAGGAAUUUAAUAAACCAAAUUUGUUAAGAUUUUAGACAUAAAUUGGUGAUAUAUAUAUUAGACAUAAAUUGGUGAUAUAUAUAUAUAUAUUUGACAUAAUAUAUAAAUAUAUUAUUUAAGUUUACUUCAAAUUAUAUUUAUGCUCUUUAAUUUUAGGUGUGCAUAAGUAGACACUUAAACUUGCAUAAAGUUGAACAAAUUGACACGCAUGUCUUACAUGACAUUGUACAUGUCAUUUUAUUAUCUUAUGUGGUAUCCUACGUGUAUCGUGUCAUGUAAGAUUCGUUUGUCUACUGGUUCAAAUUUAUACAAGUUUAAGUGUCUACUUGUAUAUACCCAAAGUUGAAGGGCAUAAAUGUGAAAUGAGGCUAAGUUAAAAGACACUUAAACUUGCAUAAAGUAUAAUUGUGUACUUGUGUCCGACCGUAUGAGAUUUGCCUAGACUCAGUCCCGAGGUUUGUGUCGUCUUACUGGGAUUCAUCUUAACUCAAAUGAACUCUGGCAAACAUCGACAAAGCUGACACAUGAAUGACUUUGAUACCAUUUGUAACAGCACAACUCGCUAAUGAUAUUGUCCGCUUUUGACUUAUGAUGCACAACUUUAAAGCGUGUCGCUAGUUGGUGAGACUUGUUUACUUAUAUACUCAAUAUCUCUUUUGUAUUUUUCGUCAAUAUAAGACUUCUUAUCUUAAGUGGGGUGUCAGAGAUGAGCUAAGCUUUUUGAACCUGAUUUAAAAAUAAAACUUUUAAUCACAUCCCAAAUAAAUUCCGACUCGUGAGACUAGAAGCAAGGCCUCUUUGUUGGCCAACUAAAAAAAAUAAUUUAGAUAAAUUUUUGGAAUAAUUACAUGAAUACACAUCUAAUUUUCAUCAUAAUCUUAAAAAUAUUCCUACCAUUACAAGAAUUCCCUCUCACAUAUUCUAUCCCUUCUCAAUUACAUCUCCAAUUAAAUAAUGUAUUAUUCGCAAUUCAUGAGCUAUGUACCUUAAAUUUUCUGAUAUAUCCGAGAUUGUAUAAAUUUAAGAAAUUUUUAUAAUUUUAAAAAGCAUAAAAACAUGAUAUAAUUAAUUUUUAAUUCUAUGAAAUUUAUGUAAUUUUUACUAUAUGUAUUUAUUUUUUUAACGGAAAAGGGCCUAAAAUACCCUCGAAGUAUUGAAAAUGGUACACAAUUACCCCCCAUCCACCUAUUAGCCCAUAAAUACCCUUCACAUCCACCUUUGGGUCCAAAUUUACCCCUUCAUUAACGGAUCAAAAUUUAAAAAAAUAUAUAAUUUUUAAUUGCGUGGCACUCAACCAUUGGUUGUAAUUUAAUUAUUUAAAAUAAUUAAAACCCACCCAUUACCCACCCAAACCCGCCCCACUUACCCAAUUUUAAAAAACCCAUCUAACUAAAAAACCCUAAAAAUUUAAUCAUCCAAUUUUCACAAACCCACGCUCAAGGUUGUCUUCUUUUUCUUCUUCCUCUUGCAACUUGAAGAAAAUUCGUUCACAAUCUCGACUUGAACUCAAGUAAGAACUUUUGUGCACUUCGAAAUUUCAGUUAGGAUUUAGGUUUUAAUCGAUGUUACUUGUUUUGAGAAUCGAUUUCAAGGUUGUCUUCUUCUUCUUCUUCUUCUUCAUCUUGCAACUUGAAGAAAAUGUCAGCUUCUUCUUCGAUUUCUUCCCCUGAAGAACUUCAAUCUCGUACAUGUAAGUGUGGAUUUUUGGCAAGAUAUUAUACUGCUACAACUCUUGAAAAUGGUGGGCGUCGAUUCUACAGAUGUGGUCGUGUUGGGUCAAAUUCUUGUGGUUAUUGGAAUUGGAUUGAUGACAAACUUCCACGUCAUGUGUCAACCAUGAUUCAUAAUCAAAAAGUUGAAUUGGAUUCAAUUCGGAAAGAAAAAAAAUCAUUUGAAGAAGAUUGUGGAGGAUAUGGAUGGCAUUGGAGAUUCUUAUUUGAAGGAUAUGACCGCCGAUGAAAUGUCUGAGUUGAAUGAUAUGAAUGAAAAUGAAAUUUCUGAUUUGACAAAAGUUUCUGCCUUGAAGGGAAAAAUGUCAAAUUUGGAGUUGAUGGAUAAAAUUGAGAGUUCAAAGAUGAAGAAAGUAUCUAGCUUGGAUGAAAAAGUUUCGAAGUUAGAGUUGAAAGUUCAUAAAUUGAUAAGUUUGCUUGCAGUUUCUUGGGCUAUUAUUCUUGGUUUUGCAGCUGCCAAGAUGAUUUAGUGUAGUGCAAUUGUUUGUGUUAAGUUAGUGAGCUGCAUUUUAUUUUGAUUAUUUGUGAAGAUGAUGUUGGUUGUUGUUGUGUCUACUAAUGAAGAAUUAUGCAAUAUUGUUAUUACUAAUGAUACAUUGGUGUGUGCAUUUUCUGGCAAAGCUACAUUUGUUUUGAUUGUUAUGUCUACUACUUCAUUGUUAAUUUCUCAUCAAUUUGGCAGUAAUUCAGUGAUUGUUGCUUCCUCUGUUCAAAGUAAUUCAGUGAUUGUUCCAUUUGACUGAGCCUCCCUUUGAUCCACUGAGUCACAAUCCUGGCCAUAAAUAAAUAGUUUAUUAUACCAUCUAAUACUGAAAACAUAGACAUUAAACACUCAUUUUUUUACAAAAUAGUCGGAGAGACAAAUUACUUCAUUGCUCGUGCUUGGAACUUUUACUAGACCUAACUGGUUGACUGGUGGAGUUCUAUUAGCAUGGUGUUGGUCUGUCACUACUAAAGCAUUAGAAUUUUGCUGUUGUGCACGCAACUUAAUUACACUUCGGUCAGAGGUAUCAGUCUCAGUAUCCUCAGCUUUUUUUAUCAGUGACGACUACAUUGUAAAGACAAUAUCGUGGCUUAACAUCAAUGAUGAAAAAUAAUAACAAAAUAAAGACAAUACCAUACUUAACAGUUGAAAGAUACACUAUAUGAUGCAAAAGGAGGUCUGUCAAAUUGAACCAAUGCAUCAAUUAUGUAGAACACUGCAGAUAUAAAUAAUAGAAGUCAAGAAAUUCUGCAUGCAUACCUGUCGCUCAGGGAACUUUGGCAUUUCAGAUAAGAUGUCCAUUAAAGUUGCACCUUUCUUACUCAACUCAAAGUAUUCCACAGCCCGUUGCUGUAUCUCUACAUCGAUGCAGCCUUCAUACCUGGGGUAUUAUGCAGCUCUAGCAAUUAUUGCAAUAUCUUUGGAUAUAUCCACAGAAGAAAAAAAACCUUACAGGAUGAACAGAAAUUACAACACCAUAAAAUAAUUCUCUUACUUCCUGAAUAUUGCCCAAAUCUGAUUCUGUAGCUCCGGAUCUGGUGGCUGUGUAUGCAUCAAGAUCUUAGCAUAUGUUGACAGAAGAAUAGGAAUUGUUGAAGUCCUGAAUAGCAUAGUUUGAGGUAAAAAUAACAGACAGGAGAAAAAAGAGCAAUAAGAAAUUGAGAUCAAACACUGAAUGUCCUUACGUAACAGUAGGGAACUUCUCAUGAAUGAUACUAAAGAUUUCCUUUGGACUACAUCCAGGCCUUCUGGCCAGAAGAUGGCUGUAUUUUUUUCCUUUUUCAAAUUGACAAUAAAAGGACAGAAGAUAUCUACAUUCAAAACAAAAAUCACAAAAAAGAUUAUUUAGCUCUUGGGUGCUUAUCUCUGGCUGUAUGGCAACUAAACAUUAGAACUGGAAGAGCAGAUGAAAUAGCACAGAAGUUCUAAGAUUAGGUGAUGCAGAUAUAGCUUGAAGACAAAAUUAGGACACCCAGGUCAGGUUGAGGCAAUGAAAGCCUGAUACCUGCAACAGUUCUUCCACUAUGUCUUUUGCAUUUGAAACAUCACACAUUCCAUAUAGUAAAUCAAGCGCACGUCUCCUUAUACUGUUUGAAGUACUUAACGUCAGUAAAGAAAGCAAUUUGAAUACUUAAGUGGAACUUAAUAGACAGACACAAGCGGCUAUUGUCGAUAUUUUCCCAUCAUUUCACCAGAAAAGAGGACAUAUAAAUAAAACAGCAGACAUAUUGAAUGUCCAGCUCAGCUCCAAUGUCAUUAAAUUGACAAAGAGAGCUUUCUCUUAAAGGAGUAAUCAUGCACAUGUCACACUGAGAAAGCUUUUGGGCAGAAAAAAUUGAGCUUUACUAACUUGGUUGUUCCAGCAGCACAUUUUACUUAAUGUACUUCUGUUGUGAAACAAAAGCCAUCAGUUUCAAAUAGAGUUCCGAGGAUACCAACCAAACUCAAGCUGAAACACAUAACACCAAGCAAGUUUUUAAUGUAGUCUCAUAAAUAGAACACAGCAUGUGCAAGGCAGUUUCAAAUUCCGGUCAUUCUAAGAAAAAUCAAUUACAUGGUUUCCAAAAUAUAGGAGAAAAGUACUAUAAAAUCAAAGUGCAGGGAUGAGAUAAUUGUGAGUCAAACAUUCACUUGCCACACUGACAGUAUCAUAUGCAUAGUUGUGAGUCAAACAUUCACUUGCCACAAUUUAUCAUAUGCAACAGUUCCAUAACCACAAAGUUCCACAGUUCCACAGACCACAAAACUGCAACAGUUCCACAACCACAAAGUUUCAACAGUUCCACAAAGCCACCAAAUAAUAGAAUGAAUUCAUAAAAUUUUCAAGUCACAAAAUAUUUUCAGCCCACAAAACAUUAUCAAUCUAAUUUGUAAUGCUUGCCCCUCCAAAAAUAGCAGUUUAAGAAGUUUCAUUGUGCCAUUACAUACUAAAUGAAAACUCUUUAAACCAAUACUUAGCAACUACUUUCUAAUGUUUGCCCCUCUUUGCCUUAAGCUUGCCAAUCUUUUUUCCUUGUCUUUUUUCAACUGACUUGAGGUCACACAUGCUUUGCCUUUCCAAGUUAGCUUUUUUGGUGAGUAUGGUAAAUUAGUAGGGACAACAACACCAUUUUCAUCACCCUUAGAACUAAUCAUUCUUAAACCAAUUGGUUGUUGUAGCAUCUUUUUCAUUUGAAGUCUAGUUUUUUCUUCAGAUAUCACUCUAGGUGCAAGGAUUGUAUUCUCAUCCUCAGAUUCAAUACUGUCUUCAACUUCAUCCUGAUCAAAAAUUGCAAUCAAAGGUGCAGUAACUUUUUCUUUUCCAUCGUUUUUAGACCUCUUUGGUAGUGCAUCAACUUUGUCCUUUGAAACAUUUUUUCUCUUUGAUUUUGAAGGACCAGCAACUUCAUUGAAUUCUUCACUUGAUUGAUGGCUAGUUUGUCGACUAGAAGAUGCAACAAAUUCAAGAGUUGGCAUCAAGAUUGGUUCAUCUGGGAGAACUUGUCUUCCUUCUUGAAGCUGUAAAAUUUGUCAAAGUGUAAGAUAAAUAAUUAUACAUUGAAAGUAAUUAAAAAUUGAUAAAACACGACUUACUAGGGGACAUCUUCUUCGAUUAUGACCUACAGCACUGCAAUUUCCACAUGUCAUUUGCAAUCCUUUUCUACUUUUCGACCAUAAUCCUUCCCUUUUUCUUGCCUCAUCUUUUUCCCUUACUCUCUUUAAUUUUGGUCUACCAACCAAUUUAUGAAUUUGUGGUGGUUGCAUAGCUUGAGAAAGAUCAAUUUUCCAGAAUUUCUCACCUCUAACAGGUUGAAUUUUAGGCUGGUAUACAAGCAAGUAAGCUUCUUUAGAAUACCACCAAUGCAUCUCAUUUAGUGGCUCUAUUUUAUCAUGUUCUAAUGCUUUAAUAGCAUGAGGACAUGGUAUUCCUGUCAAAUCCCAUGUCCUACAAGUACACUUCUUUCUAGAAAGAUUCACAACAUGUCUAUCUACACCCUCAACCACCUCAUAUCCUAAGUCUCCAUUAGCAACAACUUGAAAACCUUGAGCAAUCAUUCUGAAAUCAUGAUACAGAUCCACAGAAUAUGGACUAUACUCUUCCGUCCACUUCUUACCCUCUUCUUCAUGUUUUUUCAACCUUUUCAUAACCUAUAGAUAACAAUGAAAUAUAUAACAUGUACAUGACAUAUAUAAUUUAUACAUGUUCACCUACAUAUUACUAUCAUAUUAAACAUUAAUAGAUGUUAUCAUAUAGUUAUAUAAAAUAGCGGCAAUACCUUAAUUCUAAUGUCUUCCAGCAUCUUGAUUAUUGGUUUUGCCCUUGCUUCCAAAAUCCAUUUGUUGAAAGACUUAGUAAAAUUAUUUUCACAGGAGUAGUUUUUGCAGACAGUGUCAAAAAAGGCCCUGCACCAAUGUUGUGGUGGAUACCAUAAAAGACCUUCGACUGCUUUUUUAGACACAGAACCCAUGGACUUUAAUUGGUCUUCAAAUUCCUCUCCAUAUGUACUCCAAGCAGACCACCAAAACAUCUUCUUCAUCUGUACACCACUCCAAGACUUAGACCAAUUGGCUUCUAUGUGUUUUGCACACCAUCUAUGUUGUACUUUUGGAAGCAAAGCACUAACAGCACCAAUCAAGCCCUGUAACAAUAAGAAAAAAAUAGAAUAGAAUAGCUUAAAAAAAUUCAAGUGUAUACAAUAACUAUAAAUAAAAAACUGUCAAACACUUGCAAAAUUACCUUUUGCAUAUCAGACAUUAGUGUCAAUCCUUCACCAUCUGCCAACCUCAAUGAGUUCCUCAGCAACUCAAUGAACCAUUUCCAUGUUCUAAUAGUUUCUCUGUCAACUACUGCCCAAACAAGUGGAUAGAAAUGCUUCAUUGAAUCUUGACCAAGUGCGACCAAUAAAAUUCCCUUGAACUUGCCUCUUAAAAAGGUGUCAUCUAACCCUAUAAAUGGUCUCAAAUCAGCUCUCCAACCACUUUUCAAAGCCUGAAUACAAAUAUACAUUCUCAAAAAUUUUCUUUGUCCAUUUUCCAACAAAGCCUCUUUGGAUAUGUUUAUAAUUACAUCAGUACCAGGAUUACUGUCCCUUAACUCUUGAGCAUAACCCUCCAAUUUAUUGAAAUCAUCAACAUAACUACCAUCUAGUUUUUCCAGUACAAGUCUUUUAACCCUCUUCAUUUUUGAAUAACUAAUAUUAAGGUUAAAGUUAUCAUCUACAAUCUUUCUCAUUUCAGUCACUUUGCAGUUAGGAUCAUUUUGGACCCUAUUCUUAAAGUAGUGUGCUAGAGCUUGUUGAGUAGCUCUUCUAUUCUUGAAUGCUUUUGGACAUGUAUGUUUUGUUUGCAAAGUCUUAAUUUCAAAUUCUUGCCCUUUCUUAACUUCAGAAAUAAGACACACAAAAGGACAACCAACAUUACAUUUAUAUCUAACUCUAACAGAGUCACUCUUGUCAACUCUAAGGGCAGCCUUCCUAGCAAUUGAGUAGUAACUUACAACCCUUUUAGCUUCAUCAAGGUUCUUAAAACUCAUACCUUUUUCCAACUCUUUAAAGUUGUCAAGUUGAUCAUUAAUUUCUCUUUUCUUUUCCAACCUAAAGGAUUCCAAUUCUUCACUAUUCUAGUCACUUGGAUAAGGCUCAUUUUCAUCAUUUUCUUCCUCACUUGAUUCACCUUCAGUUGCAACAUCUAUUCCAACAUUCACUGUGACUAGAUUAGGUUCAUUCAAUGUGACUAGAUUAGGUUCAUUUUCAUCAUCUUCUUCCUCACUUGAUUCACCUUCAGUAGCAACAUCUACCGUGACUAGGUAUGGUUCAUCAUUGUGGCUGAUGUCAAUAGCUGGAACAACAUCAUCCCCCUUAUCUACAACAAAUAAUUCAAGUACACCAGACUUAAUAGACAGUGUUGUCUGUAUUGUUCUUAUGCCAGAAUCCCCCUCAAUCAAAUAAUACCUCCCAGAAGGUCCUUUGAGUAGAAGUUGUUGGACCUUACUAAAACCUAACUUUUCAUGGAACUCUUCACAUAUGUCUAUAUAUGACAAUAAAUCUGGAUCAUACUCCUUCCAAUCAUGAGUGAAUUUUUUAAUGUAAAUAACAUUAGACGUCAGUACCCACUUGCCCCCAUAAUAGAAUAAUAGGUCCACCUUGUCAACCAUUCUUCAAGAAAAGGACAUUAUAGACCAAAAAAAAGAAGAGAAAAGGGCCAUAUUAGACAACAACAAAAUAUUUAAAAAACAGAGGAAUCUACCAAGAGUAAAAGAAUAGGGACCACAUGCUUCAAAGUAAAACUUUACAUACGCAAAAAUAUAUAAUAUAAUACCUAAAAUCUAAAAAAAUGGACCAUUUAAUAAUAAAAUAAUUCAUACCUAACAAUAGUAAAGACAUAUCUGACUAACACAAAUUGAAAAUUAUUAUGAAAUAAAGGGAGAAACGACGAGUAAAGGCAGAAAAGAACAAACUUGAGACAACAAUAAAAAAAUCCUACUCAAAAUCAACAUAAUAACACACAACACUAAUAUAAAUAGACAACACUAAACAAAAUUGUAGUAUCACCAUAAGUAAUUGUCAAAAAAGCACAGAAUACACGAAAAAUUAACAUAAACUUGAAAUCGAUUCUCAAAACAAGUAACAUCGAUUAAAACCUAAAUCCUAACUGAAAUUUUGAAGUGCACAAAAGUUCUUACUUGAGUUCAGGUCGAGAUUGUGAACGAAUUUUCUUCAAGUUGCAAGAGGAAGAAGAAGAAGAAGACAACCUUGAGCGUGGGUUUGUGAAAAUUGGAUGAAUAAAUUUUUAGGGUUUUUUUAGUUAGAUGGGUUUUUUAAAAUUGGGUAAGUGGGGCGGGUUUGGGAGGGUUUAGGCGGGUUUGGGUGGGUAAUGGGUGGGUUUUAAUUAUUUUAAAUAAUUAAAUUACAACCAAUGGUUGAGUGCCACGUAAUUAAAAAUUAUAAAAAUUUUUUAAUUUUGGUCCGUUAAUGAAGGGGUAAAUUUGGACCCAAAGGUGGAUGUGAAGGGUAUUUGUGGGCUAAUAGGUGGAUGGGGGGUAAUUGUAUAUCAUUUUCAAUACUUCGAGGGUAUUUUAUGCCCUUUUCCGUUUUUUUAAAAUAGAAAAGUACAAAUUACCAAAGGAUGAGCCCAAAAUCAAAAUCUACUUAGCCCAUCAAAUUACAAAGUCCAAAAUGUUUUGAAAUUUGAACAUAAAGUCAUGUUGAAAUUAUAAAAUAAGUUAACAAAUUGUAUAUUUUCCAACCCUAAAAGGUGUAGCAGCUCUAUCUUCUCUUUCACUUUUUACCUCCUGUUAUUAGAGUAGUUUAUUUUGGACUUGAGAUUUCGUUAAUAAUACAAUAUGAUAUUAUAUUGGAUAUAUCAAUGUUUUGACAUGUUUAAGUUAGAAUUAAGAUUUAAAAAAAUUAGAAAAGGAGAAAUUAUAUGGUUAAGUAAACAUAUACUUCCUUUGUUCACUAUUUGUUGUCAAAAUUUUUAUUUUUAGAUUCAAACUAUGAAACUUGACUAAAAUUUUAGGAUAAUGUAUUUUCAUCAUAUUGAAAUGUAAAAAAUUACAAUGUAUAGUACUUUUUGUAUAGUUUUUAAAUAUCUUAAUUUUUUAUUUUAAAAAUCAAAUUAAUAUAAUCUAAUUUAACUUUAAAAAUAAGUCAAUUGUCUUUCGAAAAGCACAAUAUGACAAAUAAAAGUGGAUAGAGGGAGUACAGUAAUUAGGAGCAUAACUAUAAUUUUAGUUAAUUAUCACUCACGAUCAAUAUUUAGUGAUAAUUACACGGGCUGGGGUUUCGAGUUUGUAUAAUUCGUAUGUUUGUAUAAUUCAAAUUUUGUAUAAUAUAUUUGUAUUUUGUAUAAUAUAAUUUGUAUAUUGUUUAAAGUUCAGAUGUUUAUGUUUAUAUAAUUUCGUUAUUUCAAGUAUACACAAAAGUUGCUCAAUUAUACAAAUGUACCCGCAAAUUAUAUGAACUCACUUGUGAAUUAUAUAAACGAGACAACUUAAACUAUAGUUACAACUCAUUAAUAGACAAACUAUAGUUAUGCAACAUAAUUAAAUUUAUUAUAGAGGUUAUUUAUGAAAAUUCGCCUUUAAAAAUAGGGAAAAAUUAUGCUGCUAAGCAAAUUUGUACUAUUUAAUUGCUCAUCAUAGCUAUAGUUUUCCAUAACUAUCACUCGCGACUAAUAUUAUACAUGAAUUAUGUGGGCUGACUUCGAAUUUGUAUAGGUAGUCAUGUUUGUAUACGUAUAAUUCGUCAGGAUAUGCAAAUACAUAUGUAUAAUAUACAAUUUUUAACCUAUAUUCAUAUACAAUUCACCUCUCUCCCACUCUCUGCCCUCUCUAGCUCGUAUCUCUUCUCCUCUCUCAAUCUCGCUCGCCUCUCUCCUUCCUCUCCCAAUAUUGCUUGUCAUUUAUACAAAUGUAUAUGUAUAAUAUACAGUUAUAUACAAUUAUAUACAUAUACAGUUCACCUCUCUCCAACUCUCUGUCCUCUCUCCUACCUCUCUCCAUCUCGCUCGCCUCUCUCCUCUGUCUUCCAGUCUCACUUGCCUCUCUCCUCCCUCUCCCAAUCUCUCUUGCCAUAUAUACAACAUAUGUAUAAUAUACAAUUGUCUAACCAAUAUACAUAUACAAUUCACCUUUCUCCCACUCUCCCCCCUCCCUUCUCUCUCGCCUCUCUCCUCUCUCCUCCAUAUAACAUAUAGCUGAAAAUUGUAAUCAUCAAACUAUAUCAAUGGAGAGUAAUUAAUUAUUUUUAAAUGGCUAUAUAGCCACUUAAAAAUAGUAUAUAUCGCCGGCCCGUAAAGAGUUGUCAGACUAACUAUUUAAAAGCCCAUUAGUAUAAUAAGCCGAGCUCUCAGAUCCUAAAGGAGUGUCUUUUGGGUAAAGAUUUGUCCAAAAGUAUUACUACCAAAAAUUUGCACAUGAUCUUAAUUUUUUUACACAUCUUUUCUUUUCAUAAUCUCCAUUAUUUCCUAUCAAUUUUAAAAUUUUUCAAAAUCCCUUAUUUUAUUCCCAAAUUCAAAACAUUUGUUACAUAAAUCCUAACUCCUAAAAUUAAUAUUUAUUCCUUCCUUAUUUCAAUCCACAAAUCAUUCCCUAUACCACACCAAUAAUGGAAUCAAAAAUUCAAAAAAUAACUUUUUAUUUCUCAACAAUAGAAUUUCAGAUUAUAAUAGUAAAAAAUAAAAAUAACAUCAAAGUUGAUAAAAAUCAAUCGUUAUUUCUAUAAAAAAAAAAAAUCAAAUUAAGAAAAUGAAAAAAUAAGAUAAAAGCAAAAAACUUAUAAAAAACAAAAAAAUUAAAAUUGAUUGAAUCAUAAAAAAAUUAUAUGUUGAAUCAAGAUUUAGAAAAACUCUUUUACUUUUUGGUGAUGAAUUUUUUUUUAAAAAAAUAACAAAUGAUUGAGAUUUGAGAAUAACGUCGAGAAAGAAAUAGGAAAAAUAAUAACAACAAAAAUAAAAAUCAACUAAUAGAAAGAAAAUCAAUUGAUUGAUAUACCUUAUCAAUCACAAAUUACUAUAUUAUGGAAGAAUAUUUGUUAUUUAAUUAUAUUAGGAUUUUUUUUCAUAUUUGAUUAUUUUAUUAUUAAAUAAUAUUUUUCUUAUUUCAUUCAUAUUAUUAAAAAUCUUUUGUUAUAAAUCAAAAACUAGAAAGUCAUAUUUGAUUUGCAAUGUUUGUACAUGUUCGAAUUUUAAAUCUACAUUGAAAUACAAGUUCAAAAAAAGAAAAAAUAGUUGGAUCAGUCAUUACACGAUUAUCACUGCCAUAGACACAAUGUAUCUCAUUUAUUUUGAUUCUUAAAUUAGUUUUGUUAGUUUUAUUAUUGAUUUGAUACAUUAUUGCUACAAUCGUUGUUUGUUUCACGCAUCUGAUACUUAAUUUUCAAUGUAUCUCGUUUAUUUUGAUAAAAACACUAUGUAUCAAAUUAAAUAUCUUGAUACAUAAAUACGUAAACAUUGAUAAUCUUAUUGUAUCAAAUACAUAAUCAACUACUAAAUGAUACCUUUAUAGAUACACUUUAUUUCAGCUUACACACACUAUUCUUUCACAACCUUAUUGUAUCCGAUACAUUAUUAUCAACAAAAAAAAAAUUAUAGAAAAAAGCAUCUGAUCAACUUGAAAUCUUCCACAAUUGCAUAUUUAUCUUUCAUGGCAAACAAUAUAUCUUUCUUUCAGAAUCAUAGACUGAAUAAAGAUACUCUGAUGAUUCAAAAACCUGUUAACAUUAAAGAAAUUAGUGAUACAUUCCGUAAAACAGUUAUUUCUAUGCAUCAAUCAUAAACAAUCAAACAACUAAACUUAUAUACUUAUAUCAGGUACAAAAUAUAACUUUAAUCUGAUACAUACCUCAUUCUUGAACAUCUUGAUGCUUUUACAACAAAAUAUAUGCAUAAUGUAUCAUCUAUAAUGUAUAGUAUUCCACAAACAACAAGAUAUACAAAUAGUAAUGUAUCAUGUUAGAUAUUUGGUAAUGAAACAAUAAUUUAAAUUAAUAUUACAUGUAUCACACAGUGACUUGUUGAUCUUUAAUUCCAAGAUUACUUAUUUGAUGUAUCUAAUUAAUAGGAGUAUAAUACUUAUCAAUUUAUACAAGAAACACAAAUACUAAUGUAUCACGAUUGAAUGGUCAUCUCAAAAAUAUAAAUAAAAAUCGAAUUAACAACACAAUAUAUAUAGUUUCAUACCUCUGAUUGUCUGAUCUAUUUUACUAUGCAAUUAAAACUCUGAUCUAUUUUAUACAUUGCAAAUCGAGACUCAUAUUUUUUCUAGAUUUUUGAAUGUCAGAUUUUUUUUUUCCAGAUUUUUCAUUGUCUUAGCAAAAUCAAUAUAUUCAUGAUGUACCUUCUCAUUGUUUUUGUGAUUUUGAAUCAAAAUUGAAAGGAUCUUCGACUAAUUGGAAGAAGAAAUUUAAAAUCCCACUUAUGUAUCAUUCAUAACUCACCUUGAUUUUCCAGAUUCUUGAACGUAUUCAUGAUCAUGUAUUGGCUAUUGUUUUAACUUUUAAAAUCUAUUAUGAUUGGGGAAAAAAUUGAAAGAUGAAAAUUUUAAUUGUUUGAAACCAUAAGAAUUUGAAAUAGAAUUGAGAGAAAAAAAUUUAAAUUUUGAAUUAAGACGGACAGAUUUGGAUGAGAAUUGGAGAAGAAAAUUUAAAUUUUGAUUUGAUUAAAUCUGAUAAGAUUUUGAAGAGAUUGAAAUCAAUUAAAUUAGCGUGAUUUGAGGAACUAACAAUCAAUUUUCUAUUCUCUUUCCUUUGAAAGUGUAACUGAAUUUGUUUUAAUGUAUCAUAUUUAAUGUAUCCAACUUAUUUGCUAUGUAUCCGAAUAACAUUAUUUUUAAGGGAUUUUCGUAAAUUUAAAAAAAAAAAUGGAUAAAAUGUAAUUUAAAUCUUACACUAUGGGAUUUAGAUAAGUUAUACUUUUUUUUAAUAUUAUAAAUAGUAAGUAUUAGUAUUUUAAAAAAAAAAACAAUAAGUUAUAAUUUUGUGCUAGUAAUUAAACAUUAUCUCAAAUAUCAUGACUAUUUUUCUUUUGCAUUAGCAGUAUAAUCAUCAACAAGAUAAGUCUAUUCUUAGAUUAGUGAAUUGCACAAAUUUAUCAUUAUUAUAUGCAUUUAUUAUACUUCUAUUUCACCUUUAAUAUAUUAAUGCCACUUAAUUGAGAAUAAAAAUAUGAUAGAUGUCAAAUAUUUUAUCGAUCAUAAUAAAAAUAAUAAAUCAAUAACUUUUUGCCUCUUUUUCUUGUGUGUUCGGAUUUUUUUCAAAAGAAAAAAGAAAAAAAGAUGAAGAUAUUCGGCAUGGUAAAAAAAUAAAUAGAACCUUUUGUCUUAGAAAGAAUUUUUUCAAACACGAGAAAAGAUAAUUUCCUAGUGGAUUAUCAGUCUAAUUAAGUUUAAUUUACUACAGUUCAUAUAUAUAUAUAUAUGAUGUCCAUGCAUGCGAAACCGUAGCGUGCCCAAAAUUUUCACAAAGUGAAUUUAAGAUAAAAUAAAUUUAAACAAAAUGUGAGAAUGGGAAUUCAAACAUGGGCAGACUGAGAAAAUUAUGUCUUUUUCACCAAUAGGCCAAGCGUCACACUUGUGUUAAUCUCAUCAUUAUAAAAAUCAUAACACAAUAAACAAAAUGUACGAAAAAGAAAAUGGCUUCAAGUUAUAGCUUCGUAUUUCUUCAUGUGUUAGUCAUAUUUUGUCUAGCACACACGGCUUUUUCGGAUUUAUCAGAUGAUUUCUACGAUGAUAUUUGUCCCCAAGCUUUACCAACCAUUAGACGGGUUGUUGAGGAUGCAAUCAGCCAAGAGAGGCGUAUGGGCACCUCUUUGCUACGUUUACAUUUUCACGAUUGUUUUGUUAACGUGAGUUUAAUUUCUUUCUCUCCUAACUAGCUAGUUAACGUUUGGUAAUUGCUUGAAAUGUUGUUACUAAUUAUACUUAUAAUAACGUAGGGUUGUGACGCUUCAAUUCCUCUUGAUCAAACGGCUACUAUUGAUAGUGAGAAGACUGCUCUUGCUAAUAACAAUUCUGCUAGAGGAUUUGAGGUGAUCGAUAGAAUCAAAUCAGAGGUUGAUAAAGUUUGUGGACGUCCAGUUAUAUCUUGUGCGGACAUAUUGGCUGUUGCAGCUUGUGACUCUGUUGUUGCUGUGCGUAUCACUCAUUUUUUCACCUAAUAUAUGUAAGCUAAAGUUAAUUUAGUGUAUAAUUGAACUGAUAAGUAUUUUGUUACAUUGACACAGUUACAUGGACCAACAUGGGAAGUGGAACUAGGAAGAAGGGAUUCUACUACUGCAAGUAGAACCAUUGCUGACAAUGACAUUCCAACACCGUUCAGGGACUUAUCUACACUUGUCGACAACUUUAAGAAGCAAGGUUUGGAUGAGGAAGACCUCGUUGCUCUCUCCGGUGCCCACACACAUCAAACUAAGUUAUUAUAUAGAAUAAUUCAUCAAAAUAAUAUAUUUAUCAAAAAUUUUAUAAAACUAGUAUAAACGUAUUUUAUAGUAACAUUUUAGAGUAUAUUUUAUUUUUAAAAUGCUGACAGCGUUAGAUUGAUAUACGUUACUCACAGUAGAAUAAAAUGUUAAUGAGUAACGUUUUGUACUCUAUUCUAAGUUGUUUCAUAUAUAACUUUUACCUUCAAUUUAAAAGUUUUUCCCUAUCUAAUUAUAAGUUGUUUUUCUUUUAACUUCACUUUGCAUGUCCUUCCAUUCUAAUUUCUAUGGUGGCCAUGUUAUUUGCUUUACAGUUACUUGCCACUAAACUAAGUCCCGUAUUGUUAAGUAGAGAAGGGCAACGAAAUGGACCUAUUUCUUUGAUUUCUAGGAGUUAGACUUAAAAAAAAAAUUCUUUCUUGAAUUAUAUUACAAUAGCUAAAUGAAAGGAAAUUCACAUUAUUGGACAGCAUGCACAACUGAAGAUUAACACAACUGCACUAAUAAAAGACUAUCCGCUUUUAGUAAAAUUUGACGUAUUAUAAAUUGUUACUGUGAGUAACGUUUUAGGAGUAAAACGUUACUUACAGUAACGUCUAUCAAUACGGUAUUGUGAAAUACGUUUAUACUAGUUUUGUAAAAAUUUUAAAAAAUAUAUUUAUUUAGUGAAUUGCUUUAUAUAAUGACUUAGUUUGGUCAAAAAUUCUUGUAGAAAUUACUCUUUCUUCUCAAGCGUGCGGAGCGACAUAAUUGAAUUAAAAUUUAAUCCUUACAUGUUUUAUAGUUACAAAUAAGAUCAAGUCUCCAAAGGACCAAAUGGGUUGGAUAUUAUAUGAAGAAAAUGAAAGAGACAUUGAAUUAAAGGGUAAAGUCCUACACAAAUACUUUUAGUUGGCUCAAAGUUUCAUUUAGCUAAAAUUAAAUUACAGACCAACCAACCAACAAAGUUUUAUUAUAACUCCACUAUAAUGGAACCCAAAAAAAAAAAAAGACAUAACCAUAAUUAAACUCAAUCCAUAAGCAUCUUAUUCUUUGCCACCAUGAUAGGACGUGUAACACCAAUUUUAUCACUGGACCCUGCAUUGGCACAUUAAAUUAAAUCAACAUUAGCCAACAAACUUACUAGUAAUAUUUUAAACUAGUCAUUUUUACCCUUAAUAAAAUUAAAAUGAACGUAACGUACUUAGUGCAGUCAGUAGAGAGGCUAAUCUUGAAGGGACUUUUGACACCACACAUAGCAGGGAGACUAGCAGCUUUGCUCAUAUCAAUGCCUUUAAUAAUAGAAGCAGCUGAUUUAAGGCAAGAGCAUGCAGUCCUACGAUCCUGUGUUGUCUUAGCAGAGGUAAUGAGACCUUUAACAACAUCACAACACUGUCCCACGGGGCCGCGAUUCUGCAAAUAAGGGAGACACUUAACCACACCGGCUUGAACUUGACCGCAGCUAAACGCCCCAGAUGCAUACGGUACAACCAUCAACAUGCACAAAACCACAAAGCAUGCAAUUUUCCCA